This 54363-nucleotide long non-coding RNA is filed under the name Ananas comosus (pineapple). RNAcentral describes it as "long non-coding RNA (ACOM_LNC020641)". Lineage: Eukaryota; Viridiplantae; Streptophyta; Magnoliopsida; Poales; Bromeliaceae. The record is from RNAcentral.
AUUUACGGUGCACUAACAACAAAGUGAGCAUUUACAGCCAAAAACAACUUUACCUCUCAAUUUCCACUUCCGGUGAAACAAGAAUGCCUAAAGUUGCUAACUAUAUCCAACGAAAAUGGUAAAGGAUCUUGAUGGUUGACAUCUGAUUCUUGAAUUCGAACACUACAAAAAAAUUAAUAUUUAAUAAUAUUUUUAGAUAUUUAAUGAUACUUAAAAUUAUUUCAAAAUAAUCUAUAGUCAUAUUUGUUGGUUGAGAAAUGAAGAGUCGCCGUAUAUAUGCCGACUCUUAUGUUAGGUAUCGGUUAAAUAUAUUCUAGCACUUUAAAGCGUCAGAAUUUUUUAAAAUCAGAACGUUUUAAAACGUCGAAAAAUUAAAAAUAAUAGUAAAAUUUAUUAUUCAAUAAAUUAGUUUGAUACAGUAGGAGGUCAUAUGAUCAAUGCUUUCGAAGCGUCUAUACUUGCUAUAUUACAGGGACACUCGGGAAUGCUUCUUUCGAGUGUCGUUUAAAUAGCGUUUAUUUGCAGGAAAAGUUUAAUUGUUUCAUAUUUUCAAUUAAAUUUAUUUUUUGAAAAAUGUAAACAAAACAAAAUAGCGUGCUAACAUUCUCUCUCUAAAAAAAAAAAAAAAAAGCAGCCCCAAGGUUUUUAAUCGAUUCAAGCCAUAAUAAACCAUUGUUUUUUUUAAAAGAUCAAUUAAUGUUUGUCAUAUUUUACACAAUUCAGCUCUCAAAAUUUAAUAAAGCUUUUACUUUCUCAUCGUAAAAACUAAAAUAAACUUUUGAACCCUAGGAGAGAAAGUUACAAUUUUUUUACUUUUAGUACUUCUUCAAAUAAUUUGUAUUUCAUUCGCAAAAUUAAGUGAGGCCAAACAGACACUGAGAUGCAUAUGUGGACGAAAUGCUGAGGAUAGGACCACACCACAGAUGCACGAUGAUGCUGAGCAAAACCAUGCAUGUGAACCACUCCCUUUAAAAAUGAGCCAAAAGCCAUUCGAUAAAUCCAUAUAUAAAUACAUAACCAUACACAAGAGAGAGAGAGAGAGAGAGAGAGAGAGAGGGUCUGUGAUGGCACUGCUCGAUGCGUCCUCGAAAAUCGUCGGGGCUCGGGACGAAGACCCGAAAACAAGACAGCGAGCUGGCAACCACCACUCACCUAUUUAAAGUUUCUAAAAAUAAGAUUAAUUUAAUACAUAUCCUUUCCAAUAUAAUAAAUAAUAAAUAUAUUUUUUAAAAAUUUAAUUUUUAUAUGUUGUUUCUAUAAAAGUUCUAAUAUUUUUAAAUAUAUUUCUUUCGUUAGAAUCUGUUAGAAAAAUUUAGUUAAUCAUAGGUUAAAUACUUAGUCAUGAUUAGUUUUUGAUAUUUUUAUGCUUAUGAUAUUAUACUGUUAUGACUUUUGAAAGAAUAUAUUUGUGAUGACAAAAUUGAAAAUAUAAACAGUUCUCUAAUGGUUCUCUAAUUAUGGUAACAAAUCAGAGGAACAUAUUUGAAAAUAUUAGGACCUUUGUAGAGACAAUAUAUAAAAGUUGAAUUUUGUAGGGAUAUAUAUUUGUCAUUCACUAUGUUUAUAAGGACCUGUAUGAAAUUAAUCCUUAAAAAUAAGAGCGUUAAUUGGUUUAAAGAAUCCGGCAUCUUACUCUAUGGCAGGACGAAAUGUCAGAAUGAAUCGUGUUGCAUUCAAAGUGACGUGGGGUUGAUUGGACCGAGUCACAACCAAAAUCCAUGAAUAUUGUGUCUGUAUACUUUAAGCGAAAUGAUUGUGUAUUCUUAACGACUCGAGUUUUUGGGAAUAAUGUUUAGCACUAACGAUCCGACAGAGUUCACUUAGAAUGCUUUUAGAAAUACAAAAAUUUCAGUCUUUAAAAAUUUUAUGAUUUUUUAAUAUUGUUUAUCUAGGGACCGGAAAAAAUAAAUUUUAUAAAAAAUAAUAAUAUAACAUUAAAAUUUUAGAUUAGAGUAACUAAUAUUAUUUUAAAGAGUAUACAAAAUUUUCUAUCAAAAACUUACAAAUUUGGAUGUUUAUAUACCGUUAAACUUACAAACGACUCACGUCAACUAUUAAAAUUAUUAACCUUGAACUAUUUCGGUUACUAUGUAAAAUAUAUAAAAACUUAUAAAAUUUAUUUUUUUUGAUAUUUUCAAAUUUCUAGAUCAAAUUUAAUUCGGCGGAUUGUAACUAUUAAAAGCAUCCCAACUGGACUGUAUAGCUUUUAAUUUUAGGGAUAAUUACCUAUAUACCCCUCAUGCGUUUGAAAAUAUCCCAUCUACGUACCCUUACUUCUUUUUUUUUUUUUUCUAAAAUACCCCUCAUAUGUUCCACCAUUAUUUCAAAAUACCUCCGCAGUUAUCCCCUGUUAGCUUAACUGGGGUUAAAUAUCGGUUAAAUGUAUACUAUAGUUAAAACCUAAACAAAGUACCAAUUUUGCCCUUACCUUAUUAUACUAAUAGUUAUCCUCUCUUUCUCUCCCAACUUGGUCGCCACCACCGGCGCCGGCUCCUCCUCCUCCAUCUCGCCUCAUCUCCUCCCAGACCACCACCACCUCCCACAUCUCCACCUCCAACACCACCCCUCUCGCCGCUCUCGUCGUCGUCCUCCUUCUCCUCCGCUCUCGUCGUCGUCGUUGUCCUCCUCCUCCGCCGCCUUGGCCGGCGCCGGGAGCAAGAGGGCCGCAACGACGAUCCUAUCUCGCCUGAGGCCGUUCGUGUGCCGUCCGCCCGAGGCCAUCCGCGUGUCGGGAGCAAGAGGGAGGUCCACGGUGCCGAGAGCAAGAGGGAGGCCCGAGGCCGUCCGCGUGCCGCAUGCCAUCCGUCAGCAUGCCAAGGCCCCCCGAGGCCGUCCGUGUGCGCGGUCCACGAGGCUAGUUUGGCCUCGUGGACCGGAUGAGAGGGAGGUCUACGGUGGACCUCCCUCUCAAUAUAUAUAUAUAUAUAUNUAAAUAUAUAUUUAUAUAGUGUUUUAUUUUUAUACAGAAAUAUUAUUAUAUAAUAUUUUAUUUAUAAAUUUAUAAUUAUUUAUUAAUAUUUUUAAAUAUAUAACUCUUAUAUAUUAUUAAUAUAUGUCUAUUAUAAUUUUAAAAAUAUUUAAUCUAUAUAUUAAAAAUUAUAAUAAUAAUAUAUAUAGUAUAUUAAUUAUUAUAUAUUUAUUAUAUAGUCGAAUUUUUGAUCCCGAAUUUUAAUUGGUGAACGUAUAAUACCCGUAUAAAUUAUGUAUCCGAAUAAUUGUCGAAUCCGUCUUUUUGCCAUAUUUUUCAACGAAUUUAAAAAUUAAAAGACAAAUUUUAUCCGAAUUAUAUCCGUACCAAAUUUUUGACGAAUCCGAAUUAACUAACCUGCAAUUAAUCGACCUCAUAUGUUCAUCUGCUCGUUCCCGACGUGCUUAAUUAAUUAAUUGUUAAUUAAUUGAUAUUUAGAGGGCACAUAAGAAAAGUAUUUGCUAUAUGAAGGAUAUAUAAGAAAAGUUAGUUACGGUACAAGAAUAUAUUGGAAUGGGUAAAAUAGUAAUUUUUCAGAGAUAAUGACAGCUCUGGAACUUAACUCCAGGAAUAUAUUAAAAAAACUUGGAACAUAAGAAGAGUAUUUUCAAUAUUAGCCUUCUAAGAGGGAUAAAUAAGAAAAUCGGAAACUUUUCAGAAAUACAUAAACAAUUGCCCCUUAAUUUUACUUUUGCAUGGAAUGAUAAAUUAAAAAGAAAAUGAAAGUAUAAAACCAAUUUUUUUUGUAAACAACUAUUUGAUCCUUCCAUUAUAAAUGAUUCACAUAUUUUGCAUUUACUUAUUUUAGUUAAGUUCAAACAAAAUUAAAUACCAUUUAAAAAAUCAGAGUCUGACUAUUUUAAUAGACAAACUAAAAUAUAUAUAAUAUGUUAAAAAAAAAAUUACAAGAAUCAAGUAGCCAUAAAAGGGUAUUGCAGGAACAUCCAUGCAUUUUACCCUGAAUGAGAUAGGCUAUGUGGAAUUGAACUUCUUUUGCAAAUUCAUUUACAGCUAAUAAGAUUAGAUUCUCCUUUUCACAGUUCAUUCUCACAGUCCCACUGACGGAUAAAACAUCCACACACACACACACACACACACACACACACACACAGUCUCAGUCAGAUGGGGGAAAAAAAAAAAACACAGUAAAAAGAAAAAAAACAGUGAGAUGUGUAAAAAUUAUUUGUUGCCUUUCAUUUCAUUAUAUAUAUGUCUCCUUCUACAGUAAGAAAGUAACAAAGUAAAAAAAAAAAAAUAAUAGAGAAGUAAGAAAAGGUGCAAGUGAGAAAGGAUGGGGGGAGGUGAUGGUACAUCACUACAUGCUCCAAAGGACAGUAAAAACCAGAAAAAGAAAAGGUGAUGGUGAGGUGCAUGAUGAUUCCUUCUGAUUCCCCCCAUCUUACACACUUGUGAGUGUAUUUCCCUAUCCCUUUUCCUUUGCUCUCUCUCUCUCUCUCUGCUGUCCUUUUCUGAAAUCAGUUUGGCUUUUGUCUGUUCCCUCUUACUUCACUUCAGUUUGGUGUUUGUAUGCAAAUAUUUUUGACAAGUAUUUGGUAGGGUGGGUGGGUAGCUUAGUUGGCUAAACAGUAACAGUAGAACAGUAAAAUUACUAUAUGCUAUCUUUCCCUCCUUUCUCUCUCUCCCCCUUUCCUCUUCUUAAAUUCAGCAGCAGCAUGCAGCAGCAGCAGCAGCAGCAGCAGCAGCAGAAACAUUUAAAUAUGGGUAAGUGGGAGUGAGAAAAGGAGUGGAGGACCAGAUCUAAUCUAUAAGCUAAAAUAAACUAUAAACUAAGAAAAGAUAAAGAAGGAAAGUAACCUAUCAACCCUAGAGUAAGUAGUAUUCUUUUGCUUCUCUUUUUCAUCCUAUUUGUUAAACCUUUUUUCUUUCUUUAUUUUUUUCCCUGCAUUGCUGGCCAUUCCUGCCACAAUUAAAAAACAAUAACAGAACAAUCAAAAGGUUGGCAGAUGAUAUUAUUAUUUUAUGAAUCAUUAUUGAGUGUUGGUUUGUAUAUUACUACUGUGAGAGAUUGAUGCUUACUCCAGCUGGGAGGGGUAGAUCCCCUCCCCCUCCUUGUCUCCUCCCUCACUAUUCACAUUCCAAUGGCACCAUGCCCAGAUGAAAACCUGAGAGCCCCACGUUCCCUCAUUCAAUUAUUGAGCAUACAAAAGUAGUUUGAUUGCAGUUUUUCAAAAAAAAAAACCCUACUUUUUUAUUAAAAUCUCUUUAACAUCUCUACAAAAGUUUAGAAUUAAAGCUUCUACUUUCGAGAGCCUCAAAUUAAACUUAUUUCAACUUUGUGCAUCGAAAGCUAAACCAAACGCGCACUAAAGCUUAAUUUAGAGAUGCAUGUAUGCUUUACAAAUGUUUUAAAACUCUGCAUUUUUGCAGUGGAUUAUCAAAAUAGGACUAAUAAGUAUUCUCUUUUUCCCUUUAUUUUUUAACCAAAAAAUAGUAAUACCUGGGCAUUUGGAAGAAGCAUGAGUUGUAGGAAGAAGCCAGAUCAAGGGUGGAGGUGGGAGGGAGAAGAUUAGAAGCCAUGAAACUGCUGGUGCUAUUACUCUGAGGAGACUCAACAGGCAACAUUAUUGCUGAGGAGAAAGAGGAAGAGUCGCCCAACAAGAAAGAAGAAGAAGAAGAAGAAGAAGAAGCCUUGGUUGGUGAUGCAAAGGGGCUAUCAGGCAAAUUGUGCUCCAAGCUACUGCACAUUGUUUGCACCAAGAAACAAAAAGCUCAAAUGGAAAGAGCAAAAACAAAACUGAUACUAAAAGAAUCGGACACAAAGUAUAUAAACCAUGUUAAAGAAGAAAAAGGAGGGACCCAAACAACAAGAACCAUUCUUUUCUCUUUGCCCCCCACCCCAAUUAGUUUCCUAAUAAUAGCUUUUGAAAACAAAUACUAGUGGCAAAAGGAAAAUAAAGAGGGAAAAAAUGGUUCCUUUAUUUCUUUCUUUUUCUGAAAGUAAAAAGAAAAAUGUUUACCUUUCUUGGAAAUCACAAUCCACAUUGGGGUUUGCUUUUCCGGUGGAUUCCUCCUUGUUGGCCGCGUUGACCGCCGAGGCACUGGGCUCUGCCACUGCCGCAGCUGCUCCAGUGUUCAGCUUCUUAUCUAUAAAGGGAGAGAGAGAGAGAGAGAAAAUCGAGGGAGAGGAGAGAGGAGUUAUUAGCAACAUUAACUACACCAAGAUCCCUCUUUUAUAGCUUGUUCUCCAAAUUCAAGGCAUUUAAGCAGGGUUUUUGUGAGCAAGAAACUCACCUUGGCUUGUGGCUUCUCCUCCUCCUCCAUUGCUCUUCCCCUCAGCAGCAGCAGCAGCAGCAGCAGCAGAAGCUGAAGCUGGGUUAAUGGUGGGAGAGGGGAUGGUGGUGGGGGUGAGGUGGGUUCGAGCUUUGAGAUCAAGCAGUUGGAGACCCAUGAAUCGCCUCCCUUGUAGCUCGAUCGCUUGCUGGAGCUCUGCGGCUUGUUGCUGCUCCUCCAGCUUCCUCCUCAGAAGCACUUCUUGGCAACUAUUAGCACCAUACAACAUCCUUGUUCCUAGAAUUUUAGUGAAAAAAUUGGUAAUCUUAGCGAAAAAUGAAUCAAAUCCAUGGAUUAAAAACAAAACCCAAGUUUAAUUCUCUACUGCUUACUCACCAAUUUGAGGCAAUUCAAAGGGAUCUCUGGUGUCUAGUAGCCCUGUGGGAGUCGAACACCCAGAAAAAUCCCCCCUUUCAGUUUGCUGUUGUUGCUGUUUCCUGCAUCAAAACGUAAGCAAAAUUAAGCAUUUUGAUCCAAAAAGACGUGGAAUUUGAAGGGGAGAGAAAUAAAAAGAGAGAGUGAGAGAGAGCUAAAGAUCGAAGAGGAGUGCCUGUACUUGUCGGGGACUUUGCCCUUCUCCUUAUACGGCUUCACGAGAACGCGCGCGUCGCAAACGAAAUGGGGGUUUCCUUUCGCGAGAAUCAGCUUCACUGUUUCUGGGUAGACGAAAGUGACGAAGCCAAACAUCCUCUUUUGCUGGUAGGGGAUUCGCACAUCUUGCACUGGUCCAUAGAUACUUCCACAAAGCACACAAAACAAACGCAACCCGUGUUGUUAGAUUAGAGCGAAGAGCCGUGCGAUGAUACGUAGAUCGGGUUUCUCUUCGGCAUUUCGUCGAACACCUACCUGAAGUAUUUGGAAACGUCCUCUUCGCUGAAGGUGCUAUCGGCGGGGAAGGUGAGGUAGAUCUGCCUCGAGCCGGGGUUCGCCAGCCCCGCCGCAAGGUCGCUCCUUUCGAGCCGCGGCGACCGGGCCACGAACUUAUGCGCGUCGUCGCACCCGAGCAUCAGCGCCGCGGCGGUCGCUGCCGCGGCCGCCGCCGCCGCGGCCGCGCGGUUCGGGGCCGAGGGCGAGGGGGGCACGGAGCCCGUGGGCGAGUAGGGGAACGCCGAGGCCAUGAGCUGCGAGACCCCGCCCCCUCCCCCUCCCCCUCCGCCUCCUCCGCCUCCGCCGCCGACGCCGAGGCGCGGGCUCUUGGCGCGCAUCAGGACCUCCUGCUCCGCCGCGGCGGCGGCGGCGGCGGCGGAGGGGUCGUCGGGGAAGCCGUGGAGGAAGCGGCAGGUGGAGCCGUUCUUGCAGUUUUAGCGCGGGCGUAGUAGAGGCAGGGCUUCUCACCGAGCCGCGUCCCCGCGGAGGCAGGCUCGCUCACGAGCAGGCUCGCGCGGUCUGGGCCGCGGCGCGCCCACCCGCCAUCGAGUACGGAAACACCCGGCGCCGCGCGGUCCCGCCGUCAGCUGAGGAAAGGCUCGAUGGUCCUGGAGCUGCGAGCUCAUCGACGAGAGUCCCCCGCAUGAGAAUCGCCGAGCCGCCCACCACCCACCGCACGAGCUCGUCCCCCCGGCGCCGCCGCCCUGGAGCUCCUCGCCCCGCUUCCCGCGCUGGCGCGAGAACGGCGUCGGGCGGCCCGCCCCCCACGGCGAGGUGGUAGGGGAGGUGGGGACGAGCGCGGCGCCCAUGAGCCGCGCGGAUGAGGCAUGGGCAUGGGCAUGGCGAGCGAAGGGGGAAGGGGAAGGGGAGGAGGAGGGGGCGAGGUUGAGGCCGAGGUCCUUGCGGGCCUUGACGACGAGGGAGUGGAGCAGGGCCUCGGGCCCGAAGGCCAAGCGGAUCAUCUCCUUCUCCCCGUGGUCCUGGAUCAGGAGCAGCCCCAUGAUCUUCGCCGCGUGCUCCGGGUCCAGCGACUGGAUCCGCGAGAACACCACCUUCGUCGCCUCAUACGCAUCCAUAACCACCACCACCACCACCACCACCACCACCACCACCAAACCCUAUUACCCAAAAAUUAAAACUUCAAACAACACACAAACAAACUGCUGCUACUACUACUACGUAUAUACCACCACUCCUACUACUACAACUAGUACUAGCAAGAGCAACAAGCAACAGCUCUUCUUAAUUCCUUCAAUUCCCCUUUUAUUUUCUCCCUUUUUUUUUCCUCCUCUCCUUUCUCUUUUCUUCUUCUCUUUUAUACAGAGCUGGGGAGAGAGAGGAGUGGUGGAAGAGAGAGAAAGAGAGAAGAGAGAGAGAGAGAGAGAGGGAGACACAGCUAUUGCUAUUGGGGUGUAGUGUUGUAAUAAAGAAAGAAACAAAGUAAGAGGGUAAGGGAAAGAGGGGAGGAAAAAUUCUAGAAUGUAACGGGUAUAUUAGUGACGUGGCGUAACAAACCAAUCAAAUAAAUCAUUUUAAGAAUAUAUGUCCCAUCAUGAUUGUAAAAAAGUAUUUUUAUUGUACUUUUGUUUGAAAAGAAGGAAUAUGAUUGGCUUGUUAUUGAUGACGUGGUGUAAGUGUGACAGUGUAGAAUUCCUCUAUCAUGAGGAUAAGAGAAAGGCUAGAGAGAGAGAGAGAGAGAGAGAGAGAGAGAGAGAGAGAGGGGGACCCCAAAAAAAGAGAAUUAAAUAAAAGAGAAAACCCAAAUGGCUUGUGUCAACUAAAUCAAGUACUUUAUUAAGCAAAACCCAGGGUGGUAGCAUUGAAGGUCCCCAAAAUUAAGUAAGGUGUUUUUUCAGAUCUUCCUUGUUUGGACUCUAACACUUGCUUUGAUCACUGAACUUUGAUUCCUCUCUCUGUAUUCUUCUCACUAUUUUACACCCCUAGUUACCAAGGUGGUGGAAGUGAAGUGGCUUAAUUAUAUAUAACAUACAUAUAGACACUACCAUCUCUCUCUCUCCCUCUCUCUCUCUCUCUCUAUCUAAUCUCCUAUUUUGUGCUCUCUUUUAUUAGAGAGUAGAGGAGAAUCUAAUAAGUAGAAAGAGCAGGUUCCCUUGUGUGAGAUCUUAAAAUGCAAUAUAUUGUACUGGCUUAAUUGCUGAGUUUGUUCUAUCUCUUGCUUUGAGCACUGUGCUUUGUUCAAAGCUUGUUGUCUUUCACUCUCUACCUCUCUAAAUUAAUAUUCCUUCCCCCCGAGCCAUCAUUUGGUUGCUGGGCCCCCUCAUCUCCCCCUGCUGGUGUUAGUGCUGCUCCCCUUUGAUUGAUAGCAUCAUGCUAAUGUUUUUUUAAUUCAAUAAAUAUAAUAAUGAAAGAUAAUAAUAAUAAUGCACUAACAUCAUGAAACUCAAUUGCUACUGUGUGGAGCUAAAUUGAGAAAGGAGAGAUUCUAAUCUUCAGACAUGUUGGAAAGGAAUAAAACAUUUAUUUAUUGCCUGUGUGUGUCAUCUCCUUCCAAAUUAAAUCCUUGAAAUAAACCAAUGAAAGCCUGGUCAUUUAAUUUAGAUAUUUUCUUUGUGCAGGGAAAGAAAUAAUAAAUUUAUUAAGUUUAGGUCACUGUACCAUAGAUCAAUUUGAUUGGAACAGCUCAACAAAAAAAAGCAAAUUUUCUUUAAUUUCUUUUACCAUCAAAUCAGGCUAUAUUGGAAUGCUUAGUGCCCCCGCAAAAUUUCGGUGUCAUUAUAUAUUCUUAUUAGUUUUUCUUUUGGAAUAAUUAAUUUCUCUACUCUAAAAAGUGUUGAUACAAAAUAUUGUAACAUUAACAAUAGGCUGGAUUUUUAGUUUUUUGCCAAAAAAAGUGAAAUGAGCUUCCAUAUCUUAAUAAAAUGUCUUAUUUAGAGACUGUUUUUCCCUCUCAUAAUGAAAAGCUUAAUUUGUUAACCCUUUUUUAAAAAAAGCCUAACUUAGAUAAAAAAUAUUAUUAACAAAACAAUGUUAAGACCUGUAAGACCUUUAGAUAUAUAUUUGUCGGCGCUUAAAUUGAAAAGCAGUAAAUAAUGAUAUAAAUAGUAAAAAAAAUUUAAAUCACGAAAUAUAGAUAUAAAGAAACUAAUCAAUAAUUCUAAAAUAUCAUGCAUCCACAUAUACUGAUUCUUUUGAAACAGCCAAAUUCAAAUAACACUCAGCAAAAAAAAUUGAGAACAUGCCAAAAAAAAAAAUUGCUACAGGAAUGGUCAAUUAUGAAAGGCAUGCAUGGAGUCACCAAGACACAUAUGUAGAGAUCUUUUAUAUCAAAUUUGCACCUCCCUUCUCAUGAAUUAACCAUUAGAGCCCCAUUAAAAUUUAAUAAAUGUAUCAAAUGAUGGGUGGGGUGUGAAUAUACUCUCCUCAAUCAUCAAAUCCCCACUUCACCAUAAUAGGAAGCAUGCAGUUCAUAGUGUCCUUCUUUUUGCUGAUUCAAAGGUAAAUAAUGAUUUACCUUGAAAGAAAUAUAAAAAAAAAGUAAAAUAUUCCUACUCUUUCACUUUUCACUUAUUAAAGUCCUUGUCUCAAUCUAUUGCUAUACUCAGCUUUUACUUCUUCUUUUUUUUUUAACUACUUCCUCAAGUGGGAGAUUUUCAACUACGUGCACGAGAGCCCAAGAGAGGAGGGAUUAAUUAUUCCAUGCACAUAGUACACUCGUGCUCCAUGCAUGGUUGCUGUAAAUGCUCAAAUCAAAUCAAAAUUAAGUUUAAUUUAUUAAAUGUAUCUUAUAACAUUCAAAAAGUUUAUAUGUUAAAAAUUUUAAAGUUUGACGAUCUAUUUUCUUAUAUAUUACUAAUUAAUUGAGCAAAAUUUCUUUUUUAUUAUUAUUCGACUAAACUUAGAUGUAUAACUACUUGUCAACCUAGACAACUUCCUUCAUAAAAAUAAAUUUUCAGUUCCAAUCUCACUAUAUAUAUAUAUCAAGAAUAGGGUAUGUGCAUGUGACCGACCAACAUCAUAAAAAGAAUUAUUAAUAAUUAAAAAAUUCUAGUAAAUCCAACACAAUUUUUUAUAUACUGUUAAUUUUGGGGCAAUUUGAAGCCUAGCAGAUCAGAUGUUAAAAUUUAUUAUUUGUUACGCGUAACCUUUGGAUAAUUUAAGGUCGUAUUUAUUAGAAUGUAUUUUAAUUUUAUAACAUCAAUCUCCAUACAAAGAUGCAUAAAUAUUGUGCUUUUCUGUCACAAGUAUUCUAGGAUGAUGUUGUAAUAUGUUGUCGAUGAUCGAGGUUUUUGGUUAAUAUAUUCAUACAAACAGUUCAAAAGUGUGUGUAUAUUAUAUAUAUAUAUAGAGAGAGAGAGAGAGAGAGGGGGAAAGAGAGAGAAUUGGGUUGGAAUAUUAUUAAUAGUAUUUGAGCUAUUUUGCUAUCGAUCUUACUAUUAAUAGUGGUUCCCUAGGGUUUAGUGGUGAUCCUCCUAGGGUUGAGUGAAUGGUUGGUUGAUAGUAUGAUUUAAAAGUUAAAAUUGAUUAAAGUAUAGGUCUAACGGUUAAAAAAUUAAUAGCAAAAAAGUCUAAAUACUAUUAAUAGUAUUCCAGUUCAACUCUCUCUCUCUCUUUCUAUAUAUAUAUAGAGUAGGGCUGCUGUGCUCUCAGGAGCACGGAGGCCUCCGUGCUCCUGAGCCGUUUUCGAUGAUGGAAUUUUCGAAUCGAGAUCGGCUCCGUUAGACUUGAUCUAGCACAUUUGAAGUUUCUUGAAAAUAAUUUUUACGAUUUUUUGAUAUCAUUUACCUAGUGAUCGAAAGGAUUCAAAAUCCAUAAUUUUUAAUGGUUGAUAUCUGCCGUUUUUAAGUUUAACGGUGUAGAAGUAUUCAAAUCAAAUGAAAUUUUGAUACAAAAUUCUUUAUACUAUCUACAACAAGGUCAAUAUUUCCGAUCGAAAAUUUUAGUGCUAUAUCACCACUUUUUAUAGAAUUUUUAUUUUCAGCCGUUAAAAAUUAUUGAUUUUAAAUCAUUUCAAUUGCAUUAGGUAAAUGAUAUACGCAAAAAAUCGCAAAAGAAUAUGUUCUAGUAAAUUUUCAAAUGCGCUAGAUCAAGUCUAACGGAUGCCGAUGUCGAUUCGCGAACAUCCAUCAUCGAAAACGGUUGCCGUCCGUUUUCGAUGAUGCGAAGUACUGAUCGCUCUCAUACUUAACGCGUGUCGAUGAUAGAGCUUGCCGAAUUGACAAUCCAUCCGUUAAACAGUUUAUUUACAUAUUUAAAACUUCUGAGAAAUCAAAUUUUAUAUAUUUUUCGCAUCAUUUACCUUACGAUCAAGAGGUCCACAAAUUUGACGAUUUUUAAUGGCCGUGUAUGCGAAUAUUGUUUAGUUUAACGUGGUUGUAAAAUAAUCGCAAAUUUUGUUGAAUUUUUGACUCAGAAAUUCUAUUACUACCAGAUAAAGAUCACUAGCUCCGCGAUCUUGAAUGAAGUCUCCAAUCAUCUUUUAGGACGUCGUUUGAUUGGUUGACCAUUUUUAUGCGCCGCUUAAUGGACUUUUAUUAUGAUUUUGAAAAUUUACAAAAUUUAUUUUCUAGAAGUUUCAAAAUACUCUAGAUCAUAUUUAACGGAAUGGAUCGUCGAUUCGGAAACUCCAUCAUCGAAAACAACUUAUAAGUACGAGGGCUCCAAUACUCAUAAUAGUAUAAUAGCCACGGCCUCUAUAUAUGAAUAUAUCAAUAAUUUAUGUCAAUAUUUUGGAAGACUCACAACAUUUUUCUCGAAAAAACAUACCUCUAACAAUGGAUCAUUAAGAACUUUCGAUUUGCUGUCAUUUGUUACUUUUGUCUUUAUCCUAGUAUUAUAAUGAUUUCCUCUAUAGUUUUUUUAAAACUUUUUACAUUUUUAGAUCAUCUAUAUGAUUGUUACAUUUUUAGACUUUUUUACCAGAGUGGGGGGGCGAUAAACUCUCUCUCUCUCUCUCUCUCUCUCUUGGUCUUGGGUGGUGUUGUGUGUCUCGUGUGGGGGCGAAGGGGAGUGUGAAGAGGGACUACUCGGCUUUAAAGGAGGAGAGGAGGGGGGAAAGGUACUCAUGGUGUCAGAGCCCCCUCACAUGGGGGUUGUGCAUGCACGGUGCAUGUGGUCACCUCCUCCCCCCCCCUCACCCCACCCCACACCCCACACACACACUCCCUACUCUCUCUCUCUCUCUCUCUCUCUCUCUCUCUCUCUCUCUCUCUUUUACUUACUCUCUCUCUCUCUCUCUCUCUCUCUCUCUCUCUCUCUCUCUCUCUCCGCUCUGUAUGUGUUCUCAAAAGCCACCAAAUUAGGCACAGGAAUGUGGUCUCAAAUCACCCAUCCGUUUCUGCAUGCGUACCAAGGCCCUGUCCUUUUCCUCCUCCGCAUAUGCGCCAACUCACGUGUGCUUGCCCUUGGCACGUGGGAAUGCCUUGAGGUGGGAACUUUAGGCUGAGGGAGGGUGCAAGUAAUGCUUCGUGAACCUCGUCCGCCGCGUCAGCAUCCGUGGACUUACUAACUAGGGCUUGUCUGGUCCUCCAUUUGUUACUGCUUUCAGUUAUGAUUAUAACCGCAAUACUGCAUUUAAGCCACCGUUUAAUUCGGGAUUAAGUAAAAAUUUGUUAUUUCAGAAAUAGAGUUAGGUUCAGAAUUAAGGUGAGAUUAGAGUAAUUUUGUAUUUGGUUGAAAAUUAGGUUUAGUCCAGAUAUAGAUAAAAUAGUGUUUGGUUGGAGUAGAUGAGAUAAGAAGGAUAGUGGAUAAAAUAGUGUUUUGUUUAAUUGGAGUAGUAGGGUGGGAUGGGGUCCCAAAUUGGGUGUUUGGGAAUAACUUCGGAGUUAAGGGGUUAUUCCACCCCUUAACCCCGAACCAAACUGGUGCUUAAUUAGAGAUUAGAGAUGUUUGGAUUGUUUGCUGUAUCGAGAAGUAGAAAUAUAAUUUUUGAGACAUAGAAAUAAAAACUUGAUAAUUCAGAUAUUAUAAUUUUAAAUUUUUUUUUUGAGAAAUAGAUAACAUGCUACCCGCUUCAUUUAUUUUAUUUAGAAUUAAACUUAGCUGAAAAUAUGAAUCAAUUAAGAUUCAAACUUGAGACCUCAAAUACCAACCACCAAACUCUUUGUCACUUGCAUUAGGGACGGUCGGUUAUAAUUACAAAAAAGUUAUUGAGAAGAAUUAAAUAUAUAUGAGUAAUGUCCAUCAUUCAUUGCUUGUUCGGCUGUUUAAAUCUAAACAUCUCUUGCAAUUGUUGUAUUGAUAAAUAGAAACAAGAUUUUGAAUCUUAAAAUUAAGUGUGUAUGAAGAUGGUUUAAAAAUGAAGGUUUUUUAAUUCUAUAAAACACGAGACUAUUGAUUGUUUUCAUAUUACAGUGCUUCGAUGAUCUGUAAGCACUAUUUAAAUAAUACUCUAUCAAGCAAUACUACACCCUACAACGGGACCUAAAUACGCACACAUAUUAUUUUUUAUAAUAGCACUUCUUAGUCACCACUAUGUGAAACACUACUUCGCCCUACAACAAAGCUCAAUAGGUACAGGGUGGUAGCGAUUGAAGUAAGAGAUAAGACAGAUUGCAUAUUUUGUUGCAUGGGUGGUCCACGGCGAAUGUAGUGGACCAUGUCUAGGGAACAAGUUUCAUUAAAAGAGAGGUAUGGAGAGGGGGAGCAAAGAGCAAUGGGUGUUGGGGAUUGGGAGAUUGGGAAUGGUAAAGAGCAAAGGGAUACGUGAAGGAGUGGGCAUGCACAAAAAUUAAGAUCACUCUUCCUAUUUGAGACCAUUCUUUUUGGAGCCCAAUUAAUUCGAUCCGCAUGAAGCAAUUAUUUUAAGUCACUCUCAUGCAUAAAUAACUUGGAUGUGGAUGGAUCCUAUCAAUUGCACACCUGAUUCUUAUCAAGAUCACUAAAAAUGGAGAGCUGAGCUCUAGAUGCUUAAAUUUGUUAAUAGCUUAACUAUUUCUUCUUUUUUUUUUUUUUAAGUUAAACUUAGUUAUUUCACGUGAUAUCUGCCAAAUAGAAGAUUUUGAUUUUAUGUUUUUGCGGGUUUUUUUUGUUGUUAGAUAUGUCUCGAAUUUUGAAAUGCAAAAUUUACUAACUCUAUUCUAUUUCGGUCGACUCAUCAAGUUAAGUUAACAUUAUCCCUAAUUUUGUUGAAGUUUAAUAAUUAAUAUAAAUGUAUCCUUUAUUGACUUCGUAUGGUUGAUGUUGAAUAUAACUAUUAAAUAUACCAUUAUCUAGUAGCUUAUUCUUUUGGAGAAAAUGAUUAUUUCAUAUUAUUUAAUGUAGUAUUAGAAUGGAAGAUCCUAAAUUCGAGACAGACUAGACUCCUUAUAUAUGUGAUAUCCUCUCAUUUAAUUUAAGUCCACAUCUUGAGGCUACCAAAAUGUCUCAAGUCUAGAUGCGAGGGAUGGCUAUUUCACAUUACUUAACAGAUAAUACUUAACAGAUAAGAGGGGUUAAGAGUGUAUUUUGUACAUGAAUUUUUAUGAGAGAGGGACAUUUUGUACACCGGUUUUAUUACAAUGAAAGUCUCUGUUUCACCUUUGCCCGUGGAUAUAGGCUAGCGACUGAACUACGUAAAUAUUUAUGUAUUUUGUCUUUAUUUUUUCUUUCUCGAUUCUUUUUUGAUAUUUUCGCACCAGACGUCCUAGAACUUUUUCGCUUUUGCCAUAACACUUGUCAUAUUGAUCCAUUUUCCUCUCAUUUCAACAGUUUUAGUCAAAAUCAGCCUUAUACAUAAGAGGAGAACAUACUGUUUGCUACAGAUACUAAAGGAGUAAAUAAUUAAAGUUACGCUACAACCAAGUCGAACAUUGAUAGUAUGGUUAGAAAAUAAGAAAAAGAAAUAUUCUUUUCCAUAGAAAAUCUAAUUUAAGACCAAGCUAUUUAUAGUUGAUUGCUAUAUUUAAUUACUAUUAAUAUAUCUAGCUAGUUAUAGUACAACAAUAUAGAAGAUAACAUUAACUCUCACGAUAUUCUUUUUUUCUUUUUUUAGGAAAACUCUUAUGAUAAUUGGGUCACUAUCGACGUUAUAUACAUAACACCACAUAUAAAUUUUAAAAAUAAAUAUUUUACAAGACAUAUAUAUAAUAGUAUUAUAUUUAUUAUGAGAUGAUAUUGCAUACCUUAACUAAUUAAAAUCAUAUUUUAUGGUAAUGUAUUGCCUGUUAUGUGAUAGUAAAGUGUAAAAAAGUAAGUAUAUCAUUCGGCCAAACACCAUGUCCUAGUGUACAAAUUAAAGCUCAAUGCAUGCUACAAAUGAAUCAAAAAAAGAUCACUCAUGGAAAAACAAUAGCACAACUAUCUAUAAUCAAGAACUUUAAAUACAAAACAUUUAGUUUUAUAAAUGUUUCAUUUAAAACUACUUUUGGUUCCAUGAAAAAUUUUCGUAAAGAUAGUUAUCAAACUAUCAAUUAGCAAAGUAGUACUAUACCAUACCAAAAAAACAUAUAGUAUCAUUAUGGGCUCUAAUAUGAUUUUCAUAUAUUUUAUGUAAAAGUGUUUUCAGUAAAAUAACUCUAAUAUGAUUUUCAUAUAUUCUGUCACUUUAAUUGUGAUUUCCUGCUUCUGAGAUGAAAACACUUGAAUGUAUGAAUACACUUGAAACAAAUUAUAGGUUGUUGCAUAUUAUAAUGUGUCUCGAUCUAAGCUUAAAUUUUACCCUGCUAUAUAUUGCCAAUUAUCUAACUGGAAUAUUGAUCAUAAAGGAGAAAAUAAUUUUAUUUUCUUCAGACCUUUUGCUGGGAAACAAAAUAGCAACGAAUUACUCUUCUAAGUUAUUGUAAAGAGAGACCAAAAGAAAUUAUUUGCCGCAUAUAUCUAAAUGUUGGCAUGGCCAAAAGCGGUUAUUUGGAUGUAAAUUGAUACUACUUUUCCAGUAAGAUUACAACUCAUCGCAUAUCGUGACGUGACGAAUUGCAACCUCGACCUAGCUACUGAGCAUUUAUAUACAUAUAGAGACCAUAUCCAAGGCAUUAAUGGCUUGCGCAGUUGAUGUGUGGCUAAGGCACGAUAUUUUGUUAUUCAGGUUCUUUUUCUUUCUUUCUUUUGUUUUUUACAUUGAUAGCUUGGACUAUGAUUUUGUCGUGAUUCACACCCGAUUACAGGGCAAAAAUCUCUACUUUAUGCAACAAUGACAUCCUAACAUUACCGAUCAGUAGAUUUUGUUGCUAGGGUUACUUCAUGAUUCAGAUACCGAUCGAUGGACUUGUUUCAGGUGGAAGGAUGAUAUGGUGCUUGAUUCAAAUUUGGGCGGGAGUUUUAAAGUUACCAAACGGUGGAGCAGUUAAUUAAGACCGAAAUUGAGUAAAAAGCACUAUUAGGUUGACUAAUGUGCUUAGAUCAUGUGUGGGUGUUUCCAACACUAUUUUAAAUUAAAUUUGUUUACUAUUAUUAGUAUAUAAAAUGAAAGUUUGCCUUUUAAACCAAGAUCAAUGUGUUAAAACUGAAUAUUCAACAUUAGCGCUCGUAAACCCACUAUCUUGUGGACUAGGCACUCGAUGAAAGCAAAUCAAAUCUCUCCCUUUCUUAAUUACAUCAUAGCUUGCAAAAUGGACCCCACUAAUUAAGAUACAAUGACAAAAUACCUUUUCUUUUUCAGAUAGAAAAAAAAAACCAAAGUGAACAAUAUAUGUGGCAAUCCUUAUCCAAAUGCUUAAGCAGUAGUUGUCCUCUCAUUAAUUUGAAGUCUCAGGAGGAGUCAAAUUUGAUUAUUGUAAGUGGGCCAGCGAGGACUGAUCAGCACAUUGUUAUCCUUGUCAUAUUAUAUAGGCUAAGGAGCUGUACCUAUGAAAAUGAUAGCAUAUAUAUAUAUAUAUAUAUAUAUAUAUAUUGAUCCACGAUGUAUAACUUUAGAAUAAUGUCACGGGGCAAAUACAUGUCAAAGAGAAACAUUCAACGAAUCACCCCAUCAAGUUUUUCCCUUGAUGGCGAUUAAUCAACAAACGACUAGAAUAUGUAAAAUAAGGCGACAAAACUGUAUUAUUUUCAAGGUAACAAAUUAAGAGAAUUAGCUAGUUCUGAUCGAGGCAAUAAAAAAAGAAAUUUGGUUACAUAUUAAUGUAUAAGCAAGAAAAUAAAUUUUGGGACAUCUAUGUUGGGAUUUGAUUAGAUUUGUAGUAAAUUUUUUAACUAGAUAAGAAUUAAUAUUUAAAUUUAUUAAAGAUAAAUUAAGAUUUAAAUAUUAAUUAGAGUAUAAAUCUAACUAGAUUAGGAUAUAUAUAUUUAAAUUUAUUGAAGAUAAAUUAAAUAUAGAUUUAAAUAUUAUUUGGAGUAGGAAUCCUUAUUAUCUUAGGAUUUGGGUACACCUAGGAUGGAGCCUUAUAUGCAGCUUCAUUUAUGCAAAUUGUUGAAUGACCCUAUAUGAUGUACGGACGAGAGAAAGCCUCUUAUGAGAGAGAAAAUGAGAAGUUGUAUUUUUGUGGGUUUAUAGAAGAUCAGAGGAGGAUGGGAGAGAUUCAAAAGGAGAGCUCAAAUUAUAGUUACUCUAUUGCAGAAAAGAAGUCAGAUGUAAUCUUUUCAUUUUUAGUGAAUCUUAUUUUACUCGCAUAUUUUCUGUUUGGUUGUUUCAUCUCUUUUCUGCUGAGAAGACAGGUUUAUGAUAAAAAUUCGAUUUGACGUUACUGUUACAAAAUCCCAACAGUCGGUAUCGGAGUGGGUUGCAAGUUCUCAAAAUCCGGUACUAGGGCAAGUACCGCAUUUCCCAACAAUCUAAUCAUACGUUAAUUAGGUUUAAACAUAUAUUAUUACAACUUUAUUCAUCAUUUAAACAUGUGUAUUUAUGUGUCACCUCUAAUGAUUACUGGAAGAAGGACAUAAUAUGUCAUUUGACUUCAUUGUCUAGCUUGAUAAGUAUUAUUAAUUAUGCUAAGUAAAAUUACUCUGAAUUUAACAUUUUCAUUAGGAAAAGCUUUUCCAUCUAUAUAUCUAGACAUCAGUUACUAACUGGGUGCUUAUAAGGUGAACAUAACAAUUGAUCAAAGUAGGUUGAUGCCUUUCCCAAUUGACUAAUCUCUAUUAGAUCCGCAUUUAAGGCAUCUUUGCAUUUAUAGUAAGUAACUUUAUUUCCCAAUUGACUACCUCACUGUUUUAUUUUGCAUAAUCACUAAAAAAAUAUAGCUUAAUUUAUUAAUAAUUACAUUAUAUCUCUCUUUCCAUAUAUCUCUCACUCUCUUUGAAAUACAUGGCUAAAGAUAUAUAUAUAUAUAUAUAUAUAUAUAUAUAUAUAUAUAUAUAGGAAGCAAGUGAUCUGUUUACUAUAGCAUUUUAUUAUUUUAAAUAAAAGAUCCAUGAAGUUUAUGAGAUCUAGUUCAAAUUGCCUCGGCUAGCUGCUAAGCUUUCAGCGUUGUAGCUUUUGCUCGACCUUCGUGCCUUCCGAGGCACGAAGGCUAUCGUAUCAUCGGAGUGAGNACGUGAUUUGGAUAUUUCUACACCGUUAAACUUGCAAACGGCUCACUACGACCAUUGAAAUUUGUUGAUUUUGAGCCCAUUCGAUCACUAGGCAAAUGAUAUCGAAAAAUAGUAAAAUUUAUUUUCUAGGUACUCCAAAUACUCUAGAUCAAUUUUAACGGAGCCGAUCGACGAUUCGAAAGUCGCAACAUCGAAAACAAGCUGAAAGCACGGAAGGCUUCGUGCUUCCGAUAGCAUAGUAGCCUCACUCUAUAUAUAUAUAUAGAAUUAUGCUACUAUACUAUCAAUAGUAUCAAGCCCUUGAUACUAUUGAGUUUUUGGCAGUUGGAUGAAUAGAUGUGCGGUUACGUUGAUAGUGGUCCCCGGUUAAAUUGAUAGUGGUCUCCUAGGGUUGAGUGGGUGGUUAAUUUAAUAAUAUAAUCUAACGGGUGGAACUGAUCAAAGGGUAGAUCUAACGGUAGAAAUCUCAAUAGUACCAAGGGCUUGGUCCUGUCGAUAGUAUCGUAGCCGGACUCAUCAUAUAUAUAUAUAUAUAUAUGUAUAUAUACAUAUAUAUAUAUGUAUAUAUACAUAUGUAUAUAUACAUAUAUAUAUAUAUAUGUAUAUAUACAUAUGUAUAGAGUAGGGCUAGAAUACUUGUAAAAGUAUCAUGGGGGUGAUACUUGUAUGUUUUUAGCCCUUGGAUGGAGAGAUGUGAGUUUGAGAUGAUGGUGGUAGGUGGUGGUAGGUGGUGGUAGGUGGAAUAGUGUUUAAUCCAAUGACUAUUAAUAAUCAAAAAGUAGAUCCAAUGGCUUAAAACCUAAUAGCACCAUGAUGGUGAUACUUGUAAAAGUAUCAUAGCUCAACUCGUUAUAUAUAUAUAUAGUGCGUCUGGUAUACUUCUGGAAGCACGGAGCGCUUCGUACUUUCAAGUUGUUUUCGAUGUUCGGACUUUCGAAUUAACGAUCGGCUUCGUUAGACUUGAUCUAGAGUAUUUGAAGUAUUUAGAAAAUAAAUUUUGCAAUUUUUCGAUAUCAUUUGCCUAGUGAUCAAAGUGGCUCAAAAUCAACGGCUGAAAAUAAAAAUCAUACAAUAUGAUGAUAUGACAUUAAAAUUUUAGAUCGAAGUUAUUGAUCUUGUUUUAUACUGUAUAAAGAAUUUUCUAUCAAAAUUUCAUGUGAUUUGGAUAUUUCUACACCGUUAAACUUGCAAAUGGCUCACCACAGCCGUUAAAAUUAUUGAUUUUGAGCCCCUUCGAUCACUAGGCAAAUGAUAUCGAAAAAUCAUAAAAUUUAUUUUCUAUGUACUUCAAAUACUCUAGAUCAACUCUAAUGGAGCCGAUCGUCAAUUCGAAAGUCCGAACAUCGAAAACAACUUGGAAGCACGGAGGGCUCCGUGCUUCCAGAAGCAUACCAGCCCUCUCUCUCUCUCUCUCUCUCUCUCUCUCUCUCUCUCUUUAUAUAUAUAUAUAUAUAUAUAUAUAUAUAUAUAUAUAUAACGUACAGCUAGUAUACUUUUAGAAGUAUAAGAGAGUUUGUGCUUUCAACUUUUAAGUUCUUGGAUCAAUCUCUUUGACUAUUUCUGAUAUUUGAAUUAAUAUUAUUAUCUUAGGGGGGGGACUACUCAACUCUAAGAGUUACCAAUAUCGUCACAAUCCUACAAUCCUUGAUCUAAGGGCUAAAACGUUGGAUGCACCAACUCCCUUAUUCUUUCGACAGUAUAGUAGUUCUACACUAUAUAUAUAUAUAUAUAUAUAUAUAUAUAUAUAGAGAGAGAGAGAGAGAGAGAGAGAGAGAGAGAGAGAGAGAGAGAGAGAGAGAGAGAGAGAGUCGGCUACUAUACUCUUAUGAGUAUGAUUGUCUUCGUUCUUAUAAGUCAUUUUCGAUGAUAGAGCUUUCAAAUCGACGAUCCAUAUCAUUAAACAUUAUCUAGAGCAUUUAAAAUUUUUAGAAAUUAAUUUUUUUAUUUUUUUGACAUUAUUUAUCUUAUGAUCAAAAGAUCUCAAAAUUAACAAAUUUUAACAGCUAGUAUGAAAUACUUACUAGUUUAACGGUGUAAAAGAAUCGGAAUCGAUUGAAGUUUUGAUAGAAAAUUCUAUUCACUAUCUAGAUAAAUAUCAACAACUUCAAUUUUAAAUUGAAGGAUCCGAUCAUCCAUUUUUAGGAUGUCGUUCGAUUUUGACCGUUCAUUUUUGUGUCUACUUGAUGUAUUUUAUUAUAAUUUUAAAAAAUUAUAAAAUUUAUUUUUAAGAAUUUUUAAAUACUCUUAGAUCAUAUUUAAUGAUGGAUCGUCGAUUCGGAAGCUUCAUUAUCGCAAACAACUGAUGAAUACGAAUGACUCUAUACUCGUAAGCGUAUAGUAGUUCUACUUUAUUUCUCUCUCUAUAUAUGUCCCAUCCCAAUAGUUCAUACACAUUUGUCAUUUACGCUGAAAAUGGUGUGAUCAUGUCUCUAUUGAAAAAUAGAAAAAAAGAAAAAGAAAAAGAAAAGGAAAGAGGUGUACACAUGUGGCCCACCAAGGUGCUCUAAUCAAAUGACCUCUAUGAUUGCCUUAUCUUUUGUCACUCCUAUGUAUCACUACUCCACACUCUUACUAGUACCCAACCCUUUGUCUCUAGCACUAAUCUCCCCUGUAUGUCAUUCAAAAUAUGACUUACUCAGGAGAAAGCAGUGCCUACUCCCUCUUUUAGCCAAACUCUAUGUAUGUGGCAUGCAUCAUCUCAUCCCCCAUUAAAUUAACAUGAAGUGGUAAUUUUAUUUUUAUCUUAUUUCAUGGAAAGAUUAAUAGUUCAAUUCAAAUUGGCGCUUUAAUUUCUUAAUCUUUCAGUGGAAAAGUUUGAAGAAACAGAAUCCUUUUUUUCCUUUUUGUUGAAAUGCUUUGUAAGUAGGAGAUGUUUCAAAACUAUUAACUUAGUUUCCUACGACAGCUAAAAGUUUUAUUCAUUGUAUUUGUUCACCGAUCGUACAACUUUUACUUCGUAAGUAAAAAAAGCUUCUCUAGCAACUGGUUAAUCAAAAGAAGAGUUUUAUACUAGAUUCUUGAUUUAUACUAGGUGGGUAUGAAAAUGAUUUUUUUACUUACGAAGUAAAAGUUGUACGAUCGGUGAACAAAUACAAUGAAUAAAACUUUUAGCUGUCGUAGGAAACUAAGUUAAUAGUUUUGAAACAUCUCCUACUUACAAAGCAUUUCAACAAAAAGGAAAAAAAGGAUUCUGUUUCUUCAAACUUUUCCACUGAAAGAUUAAGAAAUUAAAGCGCCAAUUUGAAUUGAACUAUUAAUCUUUCCAUGAAAUAAGAUAAAAAUAAAAUUACCACUUCAUGUUAAUUUAAUGGGGGAUGAGAUGAUGCAUGCCACAUACAUAGAGUUUGGCUAAAAGAGGGAGUAGGCACUGCUUUCUCCUGAGUAAGUCAUAUUUUGAANNNNNNNNNNNNNNNNNNNNNNNNNNNNNNNNNNNNNNNNNNNNNNNNNNNNNNNNNNNNNNNNNNNNNNNNNNNNNNNNNNNNNNNNNNNNNNNNNNNNNNNNNNNNNNNNNNNNNNNNNNNNNNNNNNNNNNNNNNNNNNNNNNNNNNNNNNNNNNNNNNNNNNNNNNNNNNNNNNNNNNNNNNNNNNNNNNNNNNNNNNNNNNNNNNNNNNNNNNNNNNNNNNNNNNNNNNNNNNNNNNNNNNNNNNNNNNNNNNNNNNNNNNNNNNNNNNNNNNNNNNNNNNNNNNNNNNNNNNNNNNNNNNNNNNNNNNNNNNNNNNNNNNNNNNNNNNNNNNNNNNNNNNNNNNNUUUUUUUUUUUUUUGUUUUUGUUUUUUUGUUGGUAGUAGAUAAAAUGUGUACGAACUCUUCUUAAUUCUCUCUCUUUGAUGUAAUUUAAUAUUUUAUUAAUUUAUAAGUGUGCACACAUGCUAACUUAAAGGCCCCAUCUUUUCCCACUUUUCCUACAAAAACUAUGUGAAAAAUGAAAAUAUAAUAAGAUUACACCACUGUUCCAAAAACCCACUUUUUUUUGUUUUUUGUUUUUUGAGAGAUAGGUAGCACGCUACCCGCUUAGUUUAUUUCAUUUAGAAAUAAACUUAGCUAGAAAUGUGAAUUAACUAGAAUUCGAACUUGGGUCUCGGGUACCAACCAUCAAGCCCUUUGUCAUUUGCUCUAGGGACGGUCGGUUCCAAAAACUCACUUUUAGUUGUAAUUCGUGCAGGUUAAAAACAUAUCCAGAAAAGAUUAAACCAAACAGAAUCAUAAAAUCCGACCCGACAAGCCCGACUCGACCCACAUAGCCUGUUAGAUCCGGCCCAAAUCCGGUUAACUGGGCUGGGUUGGUUCUGAAAAUUAAAUGCCCUGUAAACUCUGAGUUUGUCUUCUUUCCUCUUUUUUUUUUUCUUUUUUUUUUCUUUUUUUUUUUGAGAGAGAGAAAUAGAUAGUAUGCUACCCGAUUUAGAAAUAAACUUAGCUGAAAAUGUGAAUCAAUCAAGAUUCGAACUUGAGACCUCGGUUACUAACCAGCAAGCCCUUUACCACUUGCGCUAGGGACGGUCGGUAACUCUAAGCUUGUCUUCAUUCUUAGUUACUUCUAACUUUUAAUUUUAUUGAUAAUAAUGUUGAUAAUGACAAAUAAAAAAAGAAAAGAGAAACCAAAAUCACGGGUGUUUUCGAAAAAAUGAUAGUAGAGUGUUGAGAUCCUAUAAACUUUAGCUCUUUUGCAAAACAGGCAUUUGAACCGUCAAUUUUGGCAAUUACAUCUUCUAAACUUUAUUAAAUAAUUCAAAAGGCUUCUCUUCAUAAAUAAAUUUGCUAAUUAAAUAACUAUUUUGAUUGGAUGUUGCGCACAUAAUUUUGUAAGAUUUUAAAAUAUAAAAAUUCUUUUUUUUUCUCCCUCAAUUUUAAUAAUUAAGCUUGGAGAUUGCAAAAUUGGUUAAACCAAACUUUAAUUUUUAACACUUCUUUUAUAUGUUAGAAUUUUAAAAAAUAAUUUUUUUGUGUUGUAAAGCUUUAUAACUACAUAGAACCAAAAUAAUUGUGUAAUUAAUAAUUUUAAUUGAGGAGAGCAAUCUAUUGAAUUAUUUGAUAAAGUUUAGAAUAUACAAUUGCCAAAAUUGAAAAUUCAGACGCCAAUUUACAAAAAAGCUAGAGUUGAGGGAGUCUCUCUAUACACUUUAUCCUAAACUGUAACUGAGUUUUUGAGAAACAAGUUAUAAUAAUCGUGCCAUGCACAUCAUAAUCUUAAAUUAAAGUGUAAUUGAGUUUUUGAGAAACAAGUUCUAAUACACGUGCGAUGCACAUCAUAAUCUUAAAUUAAACAUUAAUUUUAAGUUAGAAUAAAUUGUGAAUCUGUAUUUUGAAUUUAAAUGGUUAUUGGUGGCAGAGUCUAUUUUUUAAUUAAUUUAUUUUGUAAAUUUGACUUGUUUCUAGCUAUGUUUCUAAAUAUUUUUUAUAUGCGUUCCAUAACAAAUAAUUUUUUUAAAUACAUACCCAAAAAUUUAAAUUUAAUUUUGAAUUCAUUAUGUAAAUUUAAAUAAUUAUUGAUUUGACAAGUCUAUCUUUAAACCAUUCUUUUUUUUUUCAGACCUAAUUUAUUUUUAGUUAUUUAAUUAUUUAACUUUUUUUUUUGUAAUGUGUACCAAAAUGGUUUUUUAUUCAGAUUUUGCCGAUCAACUUAAGAUUUUCAAUCGACUUUUAUAUAUAGUAUAAAAGAUAGUAUAGAUAUCGAUAUGGAUGAUUAGUACAAGAAUGAUCCAGACUGUCUUGGGCUUUAAUUUUUGGGCCUUUCUAGUCCCAGGUCUAACAAUCAGACUGAAGAAAGCUUGGGCCAGGCCUAUGAGUUGCCUUUGCAGUUGCUCUCUCUCUCUUUCUCUCUCUCUUUCUUGGCUGAAAUACAGAAAAUUCUCUGUAAAUACUUUUGUUUUUAUUUUCUUUUACUAACUUUUAAAAACCUAUAUUUUAUCUCUCAAAAUUUCAUGUUGAUGCUUUUAGCCCCCUCCAUUCGGGUUCUGUCACUAUGUCGUCCAUUUCUUUUAAUUUAUACCGAAAUUACCCUAAAAAAUUACAUAAAUAUACUAAAAAAUAUAUUUUUUUAUAAAAUAAGUAAGGAUAAUUUGAUCAUUUUACUCUAUCCGUUCAUGCCGAAACUCUUUAAAAAUAUUUCUGAAAUUUUACAAGGGCAAAAUGUAGAUUUUUAUAAGUUAUGAGGGAAAAAUAAAAUAACGGGUAUUUAUAGGAGUGUUUCUGUAUUUUAUCGUUUGUUUUUUGGAGAAUGCAUUAACGAAAGGUGCCCGUAGACCGGAUUGGAUUUGGAUAGUUGAUAUACUGUACUCGUACUUUAAAAAGAAAUGGUUAGAAAAAAAAAAAGUAUACCUUACCUAUUUAACUUUAGGUCGGGUCCAAGUUUGAGUACUUAAAUUAUUAAUUUGUCCAUCGACUUUAUUUGAGCUGGUCUGGGUAAUGACUAUCUGUAUACUACCCGUUCAAGAUCGGGUACGAGUCGGGUCUAAAUCGAAUACGAGUAUUCAUAUACAUAUAUUUUUUUAUAGAUUUUAUUAAAUAGUCUGUGGACAAAUUAUAAAUCUCCCCCUAUAGAGAAAAUAUAAGUUGUAUUAAUUACUAAUAUUAUAUACCAACAUUCAAAAAAAAUAAAGAGGAAUCAGAAAAUUUACUAAAUAAAAUAUUCAUUAAAAAAACUAGGUUGUCGACUAUAAUUGGAGUGGGGAUUUGGAAAAACCUCACUCGUGCCACGCUUGUAGAGGAUUAAUAUCGCUGAUGAUUACGACGAUGAAAAUAUUGUUUCAUAAAAAAUUCGUAGGCGGAAAUGCAAUAAAAAAAUAAAAAGUAAAAAACAAAGAAUAAAAAAAUUAGAAAAAAGAAAGGAGUAAAAGAGCGGCUAGAGUAUCAGCAUUUCAUGAGGAUGAAAAUACUUAGAGACCCCUCGUUUAUAAGUCCUAUUAAAAUUGAUCCCUCAACUUCAAAAGUUCAAAUUUAUUUUAUUUAUUAUCGGAUAUUUUAUCAGGUCCAGUCCGGAUCGGGAUUUAAAAACUAUUCCGGACCUUACCUAUUUAAAAUUUGGUUCGGGUCGGGUCCAAAUCGGGCCGGUGUGGGUGUAAAAUAUCCGGACCCAUACCCAAAAUUUUAAUGGGUAAUUUUUUUUACCCGAAUUCUAUUUAUUUUUUAUCGGGUCCGAUUCGAGUCCAGAUAGGAUCCGAAUAGGGUCCGAAUCGGGUAUAAUAUAUGGGAUAUUUUGGACAGCUGUAGCCGUAAUCAUCUAUCUAUCUAUGUAUAUUAAACCUGAAAACCGGGGCACGAGCCUCACAUUUACACACAAACACACACUUACACGCACACACACGGAGACUCGACUACUGAACUCAGGAUAGGCUACAUAUAUGGCGCCUUAUUACUAGACUACUUAAAAAUUAAAAUUUACCAUACUUCGUAGAUGCGAAAAUGGAACUACUUAGGUAAAUUAUUCUUUUCUCUCUAAAAGAUUAAACAGGUGGAGAAUAAUUCUACUACUAAUAUUAUGUAACUAUGUUCACACUGAGUCCUUUGUUAUGCAUUAAUUAUUUUAUUAACCAGUAUUGCUAGAACACUACUUUAUGUAGGCAAUACUUUUGAUAAUGUAUAUUAUUCUUCUCAUUCUUCCGAAUACCGUAUGUUUGACAUGUAUCGCUUUCGAAAAAGAUCAAGUUACGCACUUUAUAUAGAACUAACAGCAUCCAAUCAAGCACUCAAAAUACGUUUUUCCAGCGAUUCAUCUAAAGGUGCACGCGAGCUUAUUUCGACUGAUCGAUACCCCAUAUGGAUCUAUCGAAGUAUUCGGAAAUAAGGACACUCGAGAUUUCAUCAACUUAUGCUUAUGGAUUUAGUAUUUUCCUUUCUUUUAUGUAGCUAGAGGCUCGAGGUGCGACAUACGGAUCUAAAUUCGAGUAAUCAUAUUGUAAAGUAUUGUUAUGACAAUGCACUAGUCCAUUUUAGCUCUAUUCGAGGCAAAGUUGUAAUCUCCAGUAAGCUUAUUUUUGGUCGACAUUAAGUUCAAAAUUAAUUUCCAAGAACUUUUUACCAGCUACAAAAAAGAACAAAGUUUAUGUAUGUUUAUAAUCUUAACUACAUUUUUGUGGAGCCUAUCGAUUGCGUAAGAAUGAAUCUUUACAAGAACUCAUUGAAUUAGCUCAGACUCUUCGAUCCCUGCCUAAGAACUAGUUCGUAUAAUCAAUCGGUUCGAGUAAACACAUAUUACCAUUCAAUGUUUUUUUUAACUUUGCAUGCAAAUUUAAGCUGUUAGGUUUCGAGGGUUUCCUUCGUUUGGUCGACAAAGAUGUAGUAGAGAAUAUGGCGAUCAGAUUACGUUCGUAAGAAACAUAAGCCUACUACUGUACAAGGUUCCCUCUAGUUUCUCGCGUAGGGAGAGUCGAAUGUACGUGACUUUCACUUUGUUUCUGGAGGCCACAAAAGUGCAAUUAUGGCUUUCCCUGGAUUUCUUAGGAUAUCGCCGUAUCGAGGUACCUGUUUAAUAAGCGGGUCGUCUUCGCGUAAGGGAACCUUGUUCCGAUUAUCAAACAGCUCGCUCGUAUUUGGAUCGAUUAGACAACUUGGAAACUCGUGAUUGAUCUCGAUACCAAUUAAGACAGUUUGGUUUCUCUACAAAUGUUUCUCGAUCGAGUCUCAUUACCGCGCGGAUUUACAACUCUAUGAUCUUAUCUGUUACAUCAAGCAAUGGUCCCUAGAGUGUGUAUUGGCUUUACACUACUGAUGCUGACAAUAAGUUGGUACUAAUCAACCAAUCAUAAAGUAAAUGAAGAUUAAUUCUUCUGUACAUAUUUUUCAGUAACCUUUUAAUCAAUGUGACUUUAUUAGUUUCUGAUGAACAACACAGCGAUACACGUAAAAAUUCUCUCAACAGAGCUGGUGACAUGAUGAUAGUUUAAAUCAUAGAAUACUCUUCCUCGUCUCCGCGUCUCGUAUCGCUGUCGAUUCUGCAGAGAAUAUCUUCAGAGAAGAGAUGCAUGGCUUCAUACGUUAUUUAAUUACAAGUGGUUCGAUUUUUUCAUUCAUCACUCUUUUCUGUAUGAUAUCGACAACUGCGCAUUUGAAUAAGUCGUGUUUUAGAUCACAACUACUAUAUUUGUAGACAUCGACAAAACUCUACAUUAUUUAACAUAUUCUAAGUAUGUUAUAACCAUAUCUGCUAAAACUCCUUACAAUAGCAAUGUUUCUUUACUGAGUAACCUUGUUUUUAGUUGUGAGAGAGGAUUAUUUUGGUGGAUAAUUUGUGCGUAAAACAAACAUGAUUGUAUCUUUACUCAUACAAUCAGUAGUGAACAUUGCUGCAUCUUUUCCUUUUUCAUAACUGAAUCAAAGAUAUAUAUUUUCCCCUUCAUUAAAUCAUGCUUAAAAUUUACCACAACCAUUUAACCAAAACAUAUAUAAAAUUGUCCACCCCUAAUUCUACUACCCAUUACCCUAUACACAUACAUAUAUUUUUUUUGCUCCUAAUUGUUCAUGGGAGUAUAUAUUCUUUUACUAAACGGCGAAAAAAAGAAAAAAGAAACAAAAGAAUCAUGCAAACAUAAAAUUUAACCUUCCCUAGCACUAAAUUAUACCCCCCCCCUACUCUUUUCUCUGGUUUCUUCUGUAUAUACAGCUAAAGAUGAUCAGAAAUUCAAAACGGUGGCAAGUUCAUAGUUUGGUUCGAGUUCGGCUUCGGCGAACUGAGGCCCGGGAAGUAGAAGCUCGGGUUCGACAUGUCGAAGGUCGGCGUCGGCGUCGCGGGUCCGAAGCCGGUGUAGGCGCUCUGCAGAUCAUCCAGGUUCAGGUCCAUGAACCACUCGCUGUCCUCCUUGAUCUGGCACACUUCGGUGGACUGGUGGUUCGGGUAGGCCUCCGGCCUAGCCGCCGCCUUGUCGAACACGUCGUUGUCGAUGUCCGACUCCGGCGUCCGGAAGCUGUUCGACCCCGAGUCGUCGGUCGAGUCGGUCGUCAUCAUCGAGGCCUCCUCCUUCUGGCUCUGCAUCUUCUCCCAGCUGUUCUUCUUGUUGUACAGCCGGCACAGCACCCAGUCGUCCAGCUGCGCGAAUUUUAGAGCAGAGCAGCAGAAGUUAGAAUCCGACACGCAAGGAAUUUAAAAAUUCUUGAAAUUUGAAAUUUGAGAUUUGAAAUUUGAGAUCUGAAAGAGGGCGGGGCGUACUCUGAGGCUUCCUUUCUUGUUGGGGGAGCGGGAGGUGUCGGCGAGGCGGUACUCGUGCAUGAUCCAGUCGGUCUUGGCGCCGCGGGGGGCCUUGCCGGAGUAGAAGACGAGGGCUUUCUUGAUCCCGAGGGGGCGGUGGGUCCCCUUGGGCACGACGGGCUUGUCGGCCCCCGUCGCCUUCCAGUAGCCCCUCCCGGCGGCGCGGUUCGGCCGCGACCCGUUCGGGUACUUGCGGUCGCGGGGGGUGAAGAAGUACCACUCCCUCUGCCCGAAUAAUGCCUUCUCUGCUCACAAAACACACAUAACUGUCAAAUUCAAUUCAAACGCGCGAAACAGAAAUUUAUUUAUUUCACAGAUACAGAGACACAUAACAACAUAUAUGUCGCGCAAAAUCUGCUUCGAGAUCCGCAACCCCCAGCCGCCGGGGAGAAUGCGCACGGAUCUCGAAGCAGAUCCGACCGGGAGGCAAGAGUUCUUCUAGCUGAUCGAUCUAAUCUAACGUUCGGGAAUAUUAUUCGGGCGCCCAUCGGAUCCGCUUAAAAAUCCGUGCGCACUCCCUGUAGAGAUAUGCGCGAAUCCCAAAGCGGACAAUAGAAUCCGCCUCGGGAUCCGUACGAACUUCCCGAGGUAGUACUGUGCGAAUCUCAGUUGCUGUUGUUGUUGUUGUAUAUAUUUUAGAAGUAAGCGAGCAAUGGCUUGCGCGCGCUGCAAAAUGUGCGAGAUGAUUUAUUUACCUGGGAGCUCCCAGGGGUCGUACUUGUAGAGGUCGACCUCGGCGAUGAUCGGCACGGGGAGGCGCUCGUACGCCGCCUUGCGGCACAGGUAGUGCACCACGAGCUCCUCGUCCGUCGGGUGGAACCGGAACCCUGGCGGCAGGUUCAGCUCCGCCUCCGCAUCCCUCGUCCUCCUCGCCAAUCCCAUCGCGAAAAUUCCCGAGCCAAAACUCAGACCGCUGCUUUUCGCAGAAGCAGAAGCAGAUGCAGAUGCCGCAGCCGAAGAAGAUUUUCCUUCCUUUUUUUUUUUUUUUUCCGAGCUUAUGUUUCUUUUGGGGACGGGAAUUGUUUAGGAGACUCGAGUGGGUAUAUAUAUUAAUAUAUAUAAGAUAUAAGAUAUGUAAUAUAUGUGUUGGGUGGGGUUUCGUUAUUGGGCGGUCGUGGGCCCCACCGUCGCUCGUGGGCGCCGGGAAACUUCGCUGCGGACGAAAGCAGUCAAACCUGGGAGUCGGCCAACUGUUACUGGUCCGACCUCGGGGGAAUUCAUCGACCGGGCGUCCGCAUACCACGUCUUAUGCGGGAACAGGCUCUUUCUGUUGUGUGUUGAGUGUGGAAAAUAAAAUAUUAAAAGUUCGGCCGUCCCUAGCGCAAGUGGGAAAGGACUUGGUAGUUGGUAUUCGAAAUUCAAGUUCAAAUUCUAAUUGAUUCACAUUUCCAGCUAAAUUUAUUUCUAAAUAAAAUAAACGAAGCGGAUAGCGUGUUACCUAUCUCUCUCAAAAAAAAAAAAUAUCGUUCUCCGAAAGCUUACAUUUUUUAAAAAUAAAAAAAUUUGAAUUUUUGAAUCUUCUCGAGUUUUUGGUCUCUAUAUAAUUUAAGUUCACAUAUUAGACCUAUACAAAAUAUAUUAAACCUGGAUGAUUUGUAGCAUGUGUUUUUUUCGUGUGAUUUGAGAUCUUACAACGUGCACAAAUCAUUCAAAUUUCUGUACAUUAUACUAAUCUAUAAAUCAAUAAUAUGUAUAAAAAAUAAUAUUUUAGAAUAUUGUAGCAAGUGUGGGGUUAUUAUACUAUUAGAAGCAUAUACUUUUAACUUUUGGACUUUUUAGAUUCCUAGGGUUUAUUUGCAGGCGAUGAUAAUAGUAAGGAUCAAAGAGUCCAAAAUUUAAAAUCGGUACUUCUAAAAGCACCGUAGCUCAGCUCCUGCAGCAAUGAUCGCGAAGAAAGCCUUCUCCCUAACAAAAGCAGCAUUUGCGAAAUGUAAAACUAAUAAAACACGACAAAUGAGCAUUAAAAGAUUGGCUGGCCCUACUAUUGGGUAUAAUAUUAUUUGAUAGCCUUACUUUUUGGGUAUAGUAUUAUUCGAUAAAAUUAAUGCUGUGAAAAGCGCCAGUUCGAAAAAAAAUUGUUCAAAAUACUGCAAACAACAUCACUAUUAGCAGACUCAUGCUACCUUUCUUGCUCAAAAAAAAAAAAAAAAAAGAAGAAGAAAACAAACAUCACAAUUCACAAACUUUCUUUAUCAAAAGAGAAAACAAACAUCAUAAUUUACAAACUCAAAAACUUAAAGAGAAGCUUUUCUUGGGCCAAAAUCUUUCUACUGUAGUGAAAAAUUCAAGAAUUUUUUAUUUAUUUUGUAAUAUUGUACAAAAUAGAAGUAAAAGAAUGACCAAACAAGCACUAAUUUUUUUUGUACACUUAAUCAUACAAUAAAAUAAUUAAUACAUUUUAGUCUGCACUAAUUAUUGAUUCGUUUUCUUUGAUGUUAUGUUAACUAAUUUAAAUCGGUAACUUGUACAGCAGAUUUCUUUAUGUAAAAUUUAACUACAUUUUUUUACUAAUUAAUAAGAAUCAAUUUCUUACAGGUCACUGCAAAUAUAGUAAAUUAUAAAUAUAUUUCUACAAAGUUCAACUUUCAUAUGUUAUUCCUACAAAAAUUUUAAUAUUUUUAAAUAUAUUCUUCUAAUUUGUUACUGCUAAAAUACUGUCUAUUUUAUAAAUAAAAUGAACUUUUUGUCAUCAUAAUUUUGUCCCUCCAAAAAUCCCAAAUGUUAAUUAAAGAGAAAAAAAAAGGCUAGUUCAUCUCAUUAACUAAUCAGAAUUAAGUAUUUAGUCUAUGAUUAAUUAAAAUUUUCUAACGAAUUCUAAUGACAGAAACAUUUGAAAAUUUUCGAACUUUUACAGAAACAAUGUAUAAAAGUUAAACUUCAUAAAAAUAUCUAUAAUUUAUUAUAUUUACAGAAACGUGUAUGCAAUUAAAUCUAACAAUUAAAAUCUUAAGUUAUGACCCUAGAGAUACUAACGAGGAUUGCACAGAAACAUUUAUGCGCACGCUUGUUGAAUAUAAUAAUGACAUUUAAUUAAUUCGGCGCAGAGGAGAUACACCUCCCCACGUUGGAAUGUUGCUAAUUAAUUAAUUCUUUAAUUAAUUUUUAUUAUUUUAUUAAAGCGCACGUGAUGGUUUGAUUUGAUCCAUUGAACCGGGAGAAAAACCGAUGGGUACAUCUGAGAGAGGGGGGGGAGAAAAAGCUGACGGUGACGUCAGCGAGGACCGGAGAUGACGUAAGUGCCGACGCUCGCGCACAUGGGGUGGGAUUUUCGAUCUUAUCGGAAUGGGUUUCGGGUCGCUUCGGCGGCGCCCGACUCCUGUUCGCAUUCAAGGGGUGGUCUCACUUCCACUCUUGGUCUUUUAUGUGAAUUAUUAUUAUUAUUAUUAUUAUUAUAUUACAUAUUUCUUGGUGCCCAAGGAACCUUUAUAAGUGGCUUCGGAUUAAGAUGAAUGUGUUCAAGGUCUUCGUGGUUCGACCUAAAAUCAUAAAAAAUAACAUAUUACUUUCAGUACAUGUGGUAAAAAUUUAGUGGUUGAUUUUCGAAAUUUCAAGUUUAAAUUAUUUUUUAGUUAAAUUUAUUUUUUAAAAAAAUAAACGAACCGUUAACAUGUUAUCUUUUUCUAAAAAAAAUAUCAUGAAAAAUAAUCUUUCAUAAAAAAUAUUUCGGUGAAAAAAUGGUUUAUGAUUUAUAGCGUUUGAUUUGUAAGAAAAGAAAUAAUUUUUUUUAUCAAUAUUUGUUUGGUUGGAAGAAAAAAAAACACUCGUUCCGUUUGGUGAAAAAAUGAAUAAAAAAAUAUUUACGCGAUUUGUGUUUUUUUGUUCUGCUGAAAAAUAGCAAAAAAAGAAAGCUUCAUUUUUUUUUUCCAAAUCAGUAAAAAUAUUUUUACUGACAAAUAUUUUUUAUAAAUAAUUUUUUGGUUUGUAUUGGGCCCAACCAAAUGCCCCCUAAUUGCUUACAUAUUUUUGAAAAAAAAUAAUUUUUUUUAUUUAUUCUAUUUAGAAGGCUAAUAUAAAAAAUAUUUUUUUAACGUUUUAAGUUUUUUUUCAAAUAUACUUUUUUAGAGUUAGAUUCUAAUAGUGAACUAAUAGAAACAGUUAUUAUCGCUAUAAAAUUUCUAUUUUGGCCUUAAUUUCAAAUAUAUCUUUUAUUGUCAUCAUCUUUUUUUAUUUGUGCUAAAGUUAGGGGCAAAAAANAGAAGGCUAAUAUAAAAAAUAUUUUUUUAACGUUUUAAGUUUUUUUUCAAAUAUACUUUUUUAGAGUUAGAUUCUAAUAGUGAACUAAUAGAAACAGUUAUUAUCGCUAUAAAAUUUCUAUUUUGGCCUUAAUUUCAAAUAUAUCUUUUAUUGUCAUCAUCUUUUUUUAUUUGUGCUAAAGUUAGGGGCAAAAAAAAAUAUUUUGACUUUUUGUCCUUUCAAAUAUAUUUUUUUUACCCUCACUAAUUUUUUCUUAUUUGCCCUUCAAUUAAGGAUAAAAUAGAUAUUUUAACUUUUUUUUAACUCUCGUAGAAAUUUAAUCUGGAUUUAACCCAAGAUGACUUAACGGGUAUUAACAACAGGCUUAUUUUUUAAUAAUAGAAAAAUAUACGAGUGAAAUAUUUGAACCAAAAAAAGUAGGAAUAUAUAAAAUAUUUCAAAAAUUUUGAGGGGUAUAUAGAUAAUUAUUCUAAAAUAAAAGGGUUGAAAUAAAAAAAUCUCAUAAAUAUUUUUUAUUUUUAAAAAUCUAUAUUUUACUAACUCAAAAUUUUAAUUAAUACAUUUAGCCCUGUGUGUCAGGAUUCCAUCACUAUUCCGUCUAUUUUUUAUAAUUUAUACUAAAGUUACUAUUUCAAAUAAUUAAAAUUUAUUAAAGAUUUAUAUUUUCUUAUAAAAAAAGAAUAAUUUGAUUAUUUCGUCAUGUUCGUUAACGUCAUAAUUCCUUGAAAAAAAUUCUGAAAUUCAAAUCGAGCAAAAUUUAAUUUUUUCAAAGACAGAAAGAGAAAGUAAAAAUAUAGAAUUAAUAGGUACAAAAAAGUUUAUGUGUUUUAGCCAAAUAAAGAAUCCUUGUUUUUUUUUGUGUAGAGAGAAAGAUAACAUAUUAUUUCUUUCGUUCAUAUUUUUUUUUUAAAAAAAAGACGCAACUAAAAAUAUAAAACAAUUAGACUUCAAAUUUAAAAGUUCAAAUGCCAACUUCGUAGCAUGAACUCAACCUCACUUUAAAAAUAAAAAAAGGAAAAUAAAUUAUAAACUAAUAAAAUCUAAUUUUUUAAAAUCAGAUGGUGAUCAUUAGUGAAAAUAUGCUAAAUCACAUGACCUUGCCAUCUAGUUUUAAGCACUAAUUAUUAAAGUACAUAAAACGGUUGAUCUUCUAUUCUCCAUGUACAUCAAAACAAUCAAUAGUUAGAGAGAUCACUAUGCACCUUCUCUUUUUUUUUUUUUCCCCUUUUUUCGCUAGCGUUAUUAACAGACCUGAAAUUUAUCAUAUUUACUCAGCUCAUUCUGUAUAUAAUAAUUUUAGCCCUGUUAAUAUUACUAUCACUUUUUUUUUCUCCUUUUUAUCUUGGGCUUUGGUUUGAAUAUUUCUAUCUCAUUAAUGUUUGGAGCAUCAUAGGUUUGAGUACCAUGUUAGAGCGCAUAUAUAGUUAUAUAUAGCGUCAAGCGCUUGACGCUACUGAGUUUUCUAUCGUUAGAUUUAACUCUUUGACUAUUUUUAUCUGUUAGAUUAUACUAUUCAAUCAAUAACUCACUCAAUCCUAUGGGGCCCACAUCAUCGUAACCAUACAUUUUUUUAUUUAAGGGCCGAAAACCUAAUAGCACCAAGCGCUUGAUGUUAUUGAUAGUAUUCCAUGCCUAGUUCUAUAUAUAUAUAUAUAUAUAUAUAUAUAUAUAUAGAGUAGGGUUACUAUACUAUUAUGAGUAUAGAGCCUUUCGUACUCAUAAGUUGUUUUCGAUAUUAAGGUUUUUGAAUCGACGAUCCACACCGUUAAAUAUGAUCUAGAGUAUUCGAAACUUCUAGAAAAUAAAUUUCGUAAUUUUUCGAAAUCAUUAUAAAGUCCAUCAAGCAGGUAUAAAAUAAACGGUCAAAAUUGAACGACAUCCUAAAAAUGGAUGAUCGGAUCCUUCAAUUUAAGAUCGGAGUUAUUGAUCUUUAUUUAGGUAGUGGAUAGAAUUUUCUAUCAAAAAUUCAAUAUAUUCUGAUUCUUUUACACCGUUAAACUAGCAAAUAUUUCAUACCGACCGUUAAAAAUUGUCAAUUUUGUGAGUUUUUGAUCGUAGGGAAAAUGAUAUCGAAAAAUUAUAAAAUUUAAUUUUUAGAAGUUUUAAAUGCUUUAGAUAAUGUUUAACGGUAUUGAUCGUCGAUUCGAAAGCUCUAUCAUCGAAAACAAUUUAUGAGUACGAAGUCGAUCAUACUCAUAAGAGUAUAGUAGCCGGUACUAUAGUGUUUGUUUUCAAUCUUAGGGUGUUCAAAUCAACGAUCCACACCGUUAAAACUGAUCUAGGGUAUUUAAAGUUUCUAGAACUAAAAUUUUAUAUUUUUUCGACAUAGUUUACCUUAUGAUCAAACUAUUUCAAAAUUGUCAAUUUUCAAUGGCUAUUAUGACGAGUUUGGAGUUUAACGGUGUAGAAGAAUCUAAAUUUCUUCAAAUUUUGAUAGAAAAUACUUUAAACUAUAUAGAUUAAGGUUAACAUUCUUGAUCUUGAAUUUAAAAGUCCUAUGCUCAAAUUUUAAAGAUUAUUCAAUUUCCACCGUCCAUUUUGAUAUAAUUUAUUUACUAAGUAAACGAUAUCGAAAAAAACUAAAAUUUUAUUCCUAAGAAAUUCAUAUACCCUAGAUCAUAUUUAACGGUGUGGAUCGUUGAUUUGAACACCCUAAGAUCGAAAACAAACACUAUAGUACCAGAGCUCAGUACUAUAGAUAGUAUAGUAGCCUAAAUAUAUAUAUAUAUAUAUAUAUAUAUGCCAAACUUAGGCAAACUAGGCUUAUCAGAGCAUGUGUGUUUACUUGUCGCGAGGGAUGCUGCGAUUAGAUUUUUCCAUUCCUUGUGGAAAAUGAUGUUACGUACGAAAAUGAGGAACAUAUAUAAAAUGCAACUCAUGCUUUUUAGUUAGAUAUCUUUUUCCCUCCCAGUUGAUAGUAAUGUACAACAAAUAGAAGAUGUACAUUGAUGUAUAUUUAUGCAGCCUUUUUUCAUUUUUCUCUUUUUCUUUUUUUUUUUUCCUUCUCUUCCCUUAGGGGAGGUGCUUGUUUUUCUUGGAAAAUUACAAAUGUUUAUUACUUAAAAAAAUUAUGAAAAUUUUGUCAAAAGUAUAGCACUGUUUUUUCAUAAAAUUAGAACAAAAAAUUUUGAAAAUUUUUUUUUUUCUUCUAUGAACGAAAUAACCAAAUAAACUUUUUCGGUUAAAAAAUUAAUUUUUUAAAAUAUAUUUUAAUUGGGAAACCCAGCAACCUUGUACUAAGUGAUUCCGCUUCUCUUCUACCUCUAAUUAAUGCUCCAACUUUGUAUUUUGUUGAGCAAUACUAUUUAUACACUCCAAAUUAAGAAAGUGUAUAUUAUACAUCUCACUUAUGAAAUGAAUAAGAUUUUUUUUAUUUAUCAAAUGAUGUGAUAAAUAAAAAAAUCUCACCCAUUAGAUAGAUGAAUGUAAAUCAUACAUUCCGAAAUGAGCUGUAUAGAUAGCUUUUUUCUAUUUUGUUUACGCAAAAGACAUGGAGCAAAAAUCAUAUACAAAUUUAACAUCUAAAUAUAUAUUAAUAAUAACAGUCACUAGUUGGCUUAAUAGUUAAUUAUUUGGGUACGUAGCGGAGUUCAUUCUCUUGAGUAUCCAAUUUAAAAAAUUGAGAGCGUUCCCAAAAACGUCUAUUAAAAAGGAACACAUGAUCUCACAAAAUAGAAAAAGUUUUGAAACAACUCUAAUACAACAUUACCUAAAAAAUUAAUCUGGUAGAAAAUAUCCUAUAAAUAUAUUUAAUUAACAAGCGUUUUAGAUGGUAAAAGGCCUCAAUUAGGGUCUUUUCUAUUAUCGAACCAAAGGCUCCAUUAAAAUCAAUCCUUGUAAUUGUAUUUAACCUUUAGGACGCGUUUGGUUCGCACUAUGAAAGAUUAUUUUGAGUAAAAUGAUAUCCGAGAAUCUUAUUCCUAUUCAUCCUAUUACUGGGAAUAUAGUAUUUCGGUGUUUGGUUCGUAUGAUCAUAUUAUUUAGUCAAUAUUAUUUAACAUUACGAAAAAUAUAUAAUUAAUUAAUUAAUUUUUUAAAAUUAAUUUUAAAUAAUACUAUAAAAAAAUUUCAACAUCUUUUUAGAAAAGACAGAGAGAAUAUAGAUUAGAAAGAGAAAGCAUAAUUAAAGAAAUAGGAAGAGAAAUAGAGUCGAGAUUAGAGAGAAUGAGAGGGUUAAGAUUUUAGAAAAAGAGGGAGAGAAAUAGCUUAGUUUAGAGAGAGAAAAAGAGUUGAAGUUUAGAGAGAAAAAGAUAAGUUUAGAGAAAGAUACGAGAUUAGAGUGUAAAGAAAAAUAAUACCAACUAGCCGACGGAUAAGAGAUUAAGCAUAUUCUAAUUACCCCAAUCCAUUAAUAUAAGAAUACCCACUCUCGGUCAAAAGAAUGAGAUUAGUACUUUGGGAUAUAUCUCAUAUUCCAAAUAAAUUCAAUAUUACCAACUAGAUUACUUAGUGCGUUUAGCCAAAUACUGUCAUAUUUUUUUUAUUUCUGUUGGAUUACUAGGAAUUUUAUAAAGAUAGCGCGAACCAAACGCACCCUUAUGAACACAUUUUAAGUGACCCUAUUUUUAAGUAAAUACAUUUGUUCAUUUAGACAUUUUCAAACGGCUAAAUUUGUGUAGAUUUAAUGCAUCUUAUGUCCUAAUGUACGUGUUCCAACAUUCUUCGCAAAAUUUCUCUAUCCUCCUAAGAUAUUUUAGGCUAAUGUACGUGUUCCAACAUUCUCCGCAAAAUUUCUCUAUCCUCCUAAGAUAUUUUAGGGAAAUAUCUUCUAAGCAUGACUUGUUUAACGAGGCUUAAUUAACUAGUCAGCUAAAUCGGUACUGAUCUGAAAGAAAAUAAUUCAGAAAUACAUUUUCAGAGAAAAAGACCUCAAUUAUGGUUAGUUUUCUUUUGUCUCUUCUUUAUUAUUGAUCAAAGUAUCGACGAAACUAAAUUUUCGUAAUGUAGUUAACUAUUACAAAUAUAUGUCUACAGAAUUUUGCAGUAAUGUUUGGAUACGCAGCCAUAAAACUUAGUAGUGUUUUGGGGGUUGGAGGGGAGACUGACUAAUGGAAGAAACCCAAUUCCAAACGUUCGAGAAUUUUGAGUGAAUUUUAUUUCACCUUUAUCUUUUGUCCCAUGUGUUAACUUACUCUAUUUUUAAUGUUAAAACAUUUUUAGAAAGAUUAAGACUUCGUUUUGAAUUGCGAAAAAAUUGCGUUACGUGCUGUCAGAAAGUACGAUAAAAAAAAAAAUCUUAUUUGUUUUCGUAUGUAAUAUUACGUUCUGAAUUUCGCGAUUAGUCUGUUACGAUAUAUUUUUCGCGGUCCCACUGAAGAACUCAAAAGUAUUUCUCUAUAUAUUUUUAUCCUAACUCUAUUUUAUUUAAUAGUGUUAGACAGAGCUCAAUAUCAAAUUAAACCUAAAUAGUUAUACUAUACUCUGUUUUAUGCUAUAUCCGAAAGGCAUAGUUUAAGUGAAACUACCAAUAGAAUUGAUUUUAAUAUUAACAAACAUAUUACUUAAUCUAAAUUUUAUAUAUCGUCCAAUUUAUUUAUAAAUUUAAUAAAUUUGACUUGUCCUGCUCUGUUGACGUCACAGUCCAAUAGUUUCCACUAAACUUCUACAACCUUCCUAGAAUUUUUAUUUUACUGGGGAAGUAUCUUCUAGAGAUGACUUAUUUAGCAAGCCUUAAUUACUUAUUUAACUAAUUAAUAAUUAGUCAACCUGGUACCUUCUCGAGUCAAAGCUCCAUUUACACUUUCCAAAACUCCAAAUUGUCCCCCACUUGUCGUCUUUUUAUUUUUCUUUUUCUACGGCGGCUUUGACAAAAUUACCCACCAACGACGCAUUCUGUCUCCUUCUGAAGCGUUGGAUUUGGAUUAGAUAUCAACAGGAAUAUCCUCAGUGCUCUUGUGUAUACGCUGGUACACAUACCUAAUCAUGUACCUGAUCGAUUCUGAAACUCUUAACUCGUUCUUCUAAUGAUAAGACAUUCGAAUCGAUGAUCUACUAAAUAUAAUUUAUAGUACAUAAGAUUGGUAGAAACUAAUUUAAAACUAUUCUAAAGAAUAACAAAAAAUCAGAUGUGACGCCUUGUUUUUACAAUUCUAGCCCUAAUACCUGUAAUUCUCUUAAUUAACCUCUCGAAUCUAACCACCACCCAAGAUGUUAUAGUCGGGUUAAGAAGUUUAAUCCUAUUGUACCUUAUUUAUACAACUAUUUUAAAUCCUCGGAGUGUUACAUUUUUUCUUUCUUUAAGUGUUGAUAUUCCCGUCAUGCAUGCUCGCGCACAUUCACAAGCACCAGACGAUGUGAGAUCCUUUUCACUAGCGUUUAGCCGACCUUCUGGCGAGUCACGCUUUUCUCAUGAUGAUGAUUAGACGUAGAGCCGUGCUCUAUCCGUUGUAUAAUCCAGACUCAGCCAAGAUUCAUCUUAUAUAUCCGACUGGUGAUUGGUUUUGAUACUAAUUGUGACGUCCUACUUUCUAAGGGUUCAACUAUUUUAGAACUACUUCAGCCCUAAUACGCUUAAUCCUCUAAACCUCUUUGCUCUAUCCAUCACACAAAAUAAUAUAGUCCGAUUAAGAGGUUUAGUCAUACCUAAUAUAUAGAACUAUUUCAAAAUCUAAAAAUAUCACAUAAGAAUAUUUUUGGACUUUGUAGAUAAUAUUUAACUAUAUCAUUAAUCAAUUAAGAUGUUCCAUCAUUAGAGGUAGGAUGAAAAUAUGAUAGAAUUGAUAUUUUUAAAACUAUUUUGGCUUAAUUGUAAAAUUAUAUGUUUGCUGAGUUAAUUUUGUCGUAUAUUGAAAAAAAAUAAAACGUACUAUUUAUUUCACCUGGGAUGUGAAUGAUCCUUACUAGAUACUAACAUCUUGGGGUCACCACCAUAUUUUUCUAAUUUUUGUCUUAAUGAUGCCAUCAUUAUAUUCUUAACAUGACUUUUCCUGUUCAAAGGUAUCACAAUAAAAUCUAUUCGAUGCUAACUCCACAUCUUACCAUUUGUAAAUAGAAAGUGAUACUUUGUGUAUUUACAGAUGUGAUCCGAGAUUUGUCGCAGUCGGACGAAAAUUGAACCUCUCAACGUUCCUUCCCCCUACCCCGGAUAUGUAAAAAAUACAAUGCAGACCUCUAUCGCAGUUAAUUAAUAUCUGUAACGAGUCAUAUUACUAUUUUUAUCAGGAAGCAAUUUAAUUAUUUUUAAUAAGUGUAAAAUGCAUCAGAAUAGAAGAUUUUGAGUUCGAGUUACGUCAGAUUGUAAUAUAUAAGAUUUUUAAUUUUUUCCGUACGUGCCGAGUUACUAACAUUAUUAAUUAUUAAUUUCCUCCAUCUAAAUUAUUUGUCACGUGUCCGCGAACUUAUCUCCUUUGAUGCCAAUCUUUUGCAUCUGUUGUUUUUUUUAAUAUUUUAUUUAUUUUUAUUAUUUUAAAUUAAUACCAUUCCGUUAGGAAAAGUCCCACUUACUCACCAACCUCGCAACUACGGAGCCUUGACCUCGGACUAGAUCGUGCCAAGUGGACCGAACGUGUUGUAUUUUUUAUUUAUUUUGCUGAAAAUGUUAGAACCCCCUCGCCUUUAAACUGUUUCAUUGAGUAUCACUGAAUCUAAAAUUAAAAUUAAGAUUUAAAAUUGAAAUCUACAAUUUUAAAUAUUAAAUUUUAAAUUUAAAUUUUAAAUCUUAAAUCGUAAAAUUUAAAAUUUUAAAUCUUAGAUCUCAAAUUUUAAUAAAAUUUCUAAAUUUUUAAAUUUAGAUUUGAAAUUGUAAUCUAAUCCAUAUUUUAAUUUAAAUUUUAAAAAUAUUAAAUAUUAAAUUUUAAAUCAAUAUUUUAAAUUCUAAAUUUUACAUUUAGAUUUUAAAUUUUAAAUUAAAUAUAAUUUUAAAUUUAAAUUUUAAACUUUAAAUUUUAAAUUUCUUUCACAUUUAUAUUUUAAUAUUAAAAUUUUAUAUUCUAUUUUUGUUUAGCUUUAAAAUUUAAAAUUUUUUAAUUUGAAAUUUAAAUUUAAAUUAAAUUUAAAUUAUUUUUAAAAUAAACUAAGUAAAAGAUUUUAUUUGUAAACAAUAAAUUUUUUUUGCCAAAUAUUGCUAAAAGGGUAAUUUGGGGAUGGAGUAUACUUUAUUGUUACUAUUAUUUAAUUUUAUAAAAUGAAUCAAAUGUAGUAAUUCUUUAUUUACUGUAAUGCAAUAUUAUAUUAUUGUAUUAAAGCAAAUGCGUAAUAUAACAUCAGUAGUAAUUUUAUUAAAAAAUCUUAAAUAUCUAGUUAUGUCGAAAUACUCUGUAAUAUUAUAUAAUACGAACCAAACGCACCUAUUUGCAAUGCCCUAUUGCCGACUAGAUUACAAAUUGGAUGAAUCAAACAUAGUAAUUUUGACAGAAUUAUCUGUAAUCCUGACAGCAUAACCCAAAUCAAACACGCCCUAAUAGAGUCCACUAUCAUAUCGAUCCUAUCAUUCUUAAUCCAAAAACCAAAAAGUCGUAAUCACCAACACCCUUAUACUUAUGAAAAUCAUAUUACCUCUCUCNGCUUUGCAUGUACAUCUUUCUAUCAUUAUCAAUAUUUCUUAUUUACUCUUAAAUUAAAGAAAAAAAAAAUAUUUUAAUUUUUUUUUAACUCUAGGAGAUAUUUAACUCAUAUUUAAUCUAAAUUAACUUAACAGAUGGUAACUGAAGGUAUAUUUUAGGAAUAAUUGCCUGUGUACCCUUUAAAACUUUGGAAAUAUCUCAUUCCUAUUUUUUUUUUUCUUUCCAAUAUAUCUCUCAUAUAUUCCUCUAUUAUUCCAAAAUAUACCUUCAGUUACCAUCUGUUAAGUUAAUUUAGAUUAAAUAUGAGUUAAAUAUCUCCUAGAGUUAAAAAAAAAUUAAAAUAUUUUUUUUUUCUUUAAUUUAAGAGUAAAUAAGAAAUAUUGAUAAUGAUAGAAAGAUGUACAUGCAAAGCUCAAAAAUUAAAAUAAUUUUUGUACUCCUAACUUAAGUUCCCGCCGACGUCGCCCCUUCUCCAAUCGGUGACUCGAUCGGCCACCGCUGGAUUUUGAUCGUACGGUCGAUCCUGCGCUGGAACUACCUCUUUUACAUAAACAUCCCUACGAAGUAACAAAAUUACAUAUUUAUCCUCCAACGCUUUGGUAAUCAUGUAGGCUAAAUUGCACUUUCGAUCCUCACAGGUCACACCAGCGCUAUUUUAAUUCUCAAGCUUUAAUUUAUUAAAAAUUUUCACUUAAAUAUUCUCAAUUAUUCUAAUUAAAUUCCACAAUGUAUUUUAAUUGAGAGUCCAGCUACUAUACUAUCGAUAAUACCAAAUACUUGAUGUUAUCUAGUUUUUUGCUGUUACAUCUAUAUUUUUUAUUAUUUUUAUCUAUUAGAUCAUACUAUUUAACCAAUCAUCCCGUCAACCCUAGAAGACUACUAUUAUCCUAACUGCACGCCGAAAACUUAAUAGUACAAAUGACCUAGUGCUAUUAAUAGUACAAUAGCCUAGUUCUUUACUUGGCUAAAUAAUAACAUGUCGGUAUGACAAUGGCAAUAUUGUAAUGCUACAAUCGUUAAUGCGACAAAUACUAAAAUGUCGUAUUACUAUCAAAUCAGCGUAUUAAGAAAAUUGGACUGUAAAAUUAAAAAUUUUGAGUCACAAAGUAUACAAGAUUAGAGUUUGAUAACCAAAAUAGUAACACACAAAAUCAUACAUUGAAUUUCACCAAAGGUCCUCAACUUUUUCUUUUUUGGAGGCUUCAAAAGUUACACAAAUAAAACGUAAGUUCAACUACUUUUGCUGUGCAUGAUGAUAGCUUAAGGUGAUCAGAUUAAGUUCAUGCACUGUAGUAGUGUGUACUUGUAAUAGAUCCCACAAUAUACAUGCAGCCAAAGAUAUCGAGGGUCGGAUUCGAGGCGGAUUUUUAAAAACGCGAAUCUGAAUCCGACUCCAAACCUAAGAUUCGAACCUGAACCCAAACCCGACGGAUUUUAAAUAUCUAUUUCCAAACCCGAACCUGACCAAAAUCCGAAUCCGAACCUGAAAAUUCGAACCGGAAAUAAUUAUUUUUUUAAUAUUUUAAAAUAUAUUUUAUUAAAUUUAAAAUUUUAAAAUAGAAAUUUAAAUAUAACAUCAAAUUUUUAUAUACAUAUUAUAUAUAAUACAAAAUAAAUUCGGGUUCGGGUCGGAUACAGUCAAAAUCUAUAUCCGAAUCUAUAUCCGUCGGAGUUUUAUUUUUGAUAUCCACAUCCGAAUCCAUAUCCGUUUAGCAUUGAAUAUAUCUGCUUCAUUCAUAUUAGGGUUCAAAUAAAAUUUCGAAUAUCCAUGUUCAUUGACAUCCCUGCAUGCAGCACCUCUUGGUGGGUUGUGACAAGGAUUUGGUGGAAAGUACUACAAAAUGUGAACCUUGUGCCAAGAUCAUAUGAAGCAUGGUUCAAUGUAUGUGGAUAUCAAUGUUUGAAUUUGUACAACAAUGCUUUGUGCCUGUCACUGAAAUGGUCCAAAAUGUGUGACUCAACAAAGUCAACAUUUAUGAUACUUUAGUGAGCAUUUUUGUACCUCCCUUCACAUAGGAGGCCCAUCAUUUUGGAUUGUUUAUCCUUUCCCUAGUGACAUUUAGUACAUACAUGUGUGACAAAACCAAUGUGAACUGCUUAUGUUGUUAAUUUGCAUGUCUAUCUUAUCUUUCACAUUCAUUUGGCUAAAUGAUUGAUGCAGGUUAGAUAACACUAGGCUACAAAUAUUGCAGCGUAGCCAAAAAAAUAAAAAUAAAAAAUAAAAAAUAACAAAAGAAGGAAGAGAAAGAAAAAAAAAUACGCUACAUAGGCUAGAUACAGACCACACAAGAACUAGGAAAGAUCACAUAGAUGUAGAAUAAAAUUUCAUUAACGAAAACCUUUCUUUUUACAAUAGAUAUCAAGUCUAUUAGUAGGAAAUCAAAUCAAACUUCUAAUCCUAAUCAAAUCUUGUAAAUUUAGAAAUGUUUUCUAAAAACAAACAAAUCUAUUCUUAUUUAAAACUUGGAAAUCCAUGCAUGUUCUUAGGAAUUUACUCCAUAAUAAAAAAUUCUAAAAAAAUUAAAACAAUACUCAAAAAUAAAUUAACAAUUCACAUUUUUCUGUUGUCAUAUUCGAAUAUAUAUUAAUUGUGGGAACUUGCAUACACAACAAUUCGCGUAUCUCUAUUGUUAACUACAACAUCAAAUUAUAUUCUUUAUUCAUGAGCUAGGCUGCUAUACUAUCGGUAGCACAGACGUUUCCGUACUACAAAGUUUUUUUCAAUGAUGCGGUUUCUAAAUCAAUGAUCGGCUACAUUACACUUGAUCUACACUAUUGAAACUAUUUGAAAACCAAAUUUUAUAAUUUUUUAAUAUUAUUUGGCUAGUAAUUAAAAGGUCUCAAAAUUGACAAUUUUAAUGGUAGAUGUGAUGCGUUUGUGAAUUUAAAGGUAUAAAAUAAUCUAAAUUUGAUAAAAUUUUUAUAAAAAAUUAUUUUACUAUGUAGAGUAAGAUUAGUAGCUCUGAACUUAAAUUCAAAUCUUCUAUCAUCAAUUUUUAUGAGAUUUUUAUUUUCAACUGUUUAUAUUUAAACCACUCGUUGGAUAGACAAAUAAUGUCGAAAAAUUAUAAAAUUUGAUUUUAAAAUACUUUCAAUAAUAUAGAUCAAAUUUAACAGAGCCGAUUAUUGAUUUGAAAGUUACAUCAUUAAAAAUAAUUUGAUAAUAUGAAAACUUUUGUGCUAUCGAUACAAUAGCAGUCGGACUCCUCUUUAUUUGAGUUCAUGGAAAGAAGUGUGACAAAAGCAAUGUAAAUUGCCGAUGCCAUUGGUAAGCGUGCUUAUGCAUGCUACCUUUUAUGUUUAUUUUUGGCCGCAUAAUGUAUGCAGAGUCUAUUUGGUCUAGUUUCUGAUCGAGUGUGAUCGCGUGGGCUUGCUAGUACAAAUAUUAUAAUGAUUUUUGCACUUGAAAAGAUAUUGCUGUCAAAAUGAGCUUUGUUUUGGAAAAAAAAAAAUUAAAAAAUAAAUAGCCGUACAUAUUUCUUAAGCUGGUAAGUUCUAAUUCAUGUAUUUAGCGCAUGAUAUGUAGGUUCAAAAAUUGUUUACUCGGUAAAAUCAAUGUCAAAUAACACAUCAAUUUUUUUUCUAAAAAGUAUGAUGCAAAAGUCUUAGCAAUGUUUAAAUAAUUGGACCUCCUAAAUGUAUCUUGAACAAACAUGGUAUCAUGUUAUCAUAUUAUAAUAUCAUUGAAUUAAGAUACGACACGGAUACUGUAGCAUCCUCGUUUGUCCGGUCCGGCAUGGUCCGUCCGACAGCGGUCGGCUUAUCAGUUUAGACCCCUCAACUUGGCACCGCACGGUCCAAAAUGGGCCUGGGCCAUGUCGGGCCAAAUGAUGGGCCCACACUCACAUGGGCCAUGCCUUUCCUCCUCCCAAGAGUAUGCUAUGGCAGGCCCUUGAGAGAUUAAGUGUUUAACCAAAAUAUCCUCUCCAACAAUUAUAUUUUUGAUUAUUAAGUAGAGUAAUUUGGUCGACAUGAUUUUUAAAAUUUGGCCAAUUUGUAUAAAAAAUUCACUAAUUUUAAGAUUUCGUAAAAAUAGACUGUUUUUUUGAAUUUUACAAAUCCGGUCUAAUUUCUUAAAAAGAUGACUAUACUAUUCUUCUUUUAAAAUAGAUAAAAAAUACAUGUAUUAAAUAUUCUGAAAAAUACAACUGGCAAGUCAUUAUUGCAGCUUUUUUUUUUUGUUUUGAAGAAAUAAAAUCUUAUCUAUCAUGCAAAUAAAAAAAUUUAAAUAAUAAAAAAAAGAAUAUGAGUCCUGUCAGACCAGCACGACUGACAUUGCCCCCUUAACCAACGUGUCCAAUUUCUAUCAACUUUUAAUUUGAAAAUCAUAGUAACACCUACACUUUAUGGUUGUUUUAUCUCUAUCUUGUUUUAUAUAUAUAUAUAUAUACACACACACACACACACACAGUGAUGCAUGCAUAACCAAUGUAAAUUGCAAUUUGAAAUUUAAACUCAUCUUGCACAUUUUGUCACAUGCUUGUGUUUUAUCUCUUACUUUUUUUUUGACAUUCCCUAAAUUCAGAACAUGCACAUCCAGAGGCCUAAUUUAAAGUUGGGCUAAAUAAAAUCAACUGGGUUGGGCCUUAAUUAAUAGUAGAUUUGACUUUCUUAAUCCGCGAGAAUUAAAAAACCAAACUCUCUAUGCUUCAAACAAGCCCAGGAAGCCUAGGUUAUGGUUAUCUGGGCUCUAGUUUUUUAAUUCUUUGUUUUCAUCUUUAUUUUGAUUGGAUGUAAGUACUAAUACAGUAUAGUUAAAAAUAUAUGCAGUUAAAAAUAUAACAGUUAUAACUCUAUGUACAUUUUAUGAUUGGAUGUAGUAGAAAAGCUACAACUACACAUUUUUCUUUUAGUUAUUAAUGUAUGCAGUGGGAAACUGUACUUGCAACUUUUAUAUUUUUCCCCCUUUGAAAAACAGGAUUAGGCAAAUGAGCUUAUUUUUUAUUUAAAAUCAUUUUUACAUGUUGUUGUAAUUACAAUUACCGCUAUCUGGGUGCAGUUUCAACUGCUGUAUUUAAACCGUCUUAUGAAGUUGCAAUUGGACCCUUUGAACUCAAGUAGUGUGUUAAAGCAAAUAUAGUAUUUAGAUCUGCUUGGAAUUAAAUUAGUUCCUAAAUAGGUUGGAGAUUUGUCUCUAAUCGUUUUUUCGACAUAUUAAUAGUAGCAAUAACGGCGUCAGUAACCGUAGCAAUUGUACGUAAAUGAUUCAAAUCAAAUAUCCUAUUUAGAUUCGUACGUAAUUGAACUUUUACUACAACUGUAAUUGUACAUAACAAAACAGCCCUUGAAUAGGCAUAGACUCUGUCUACGGUCAUUUUUUCGCGAAACAACGAUGGAUAUGCGUUUACUCAUUGAAAGGAUAUGGUGCAGAUUUGAGAAAACGGAGGGGCUCGGCGGGCCGGUAGGUGGCCUGUCCAUUUGACAUGCAAUUUGUUCGUUUAUUUACUUAUUUGUUUGUUUUCGUUUUGAGAUCAAAAACAAAAUAUUUAAGAUUGACCGCCGAACAUAUCGAUUGAUUUCUUUUUAAUCUUUAGUGGAAAAACUAUCAACAUCUUAGCUUGAUUUUGCAUUUAUUGUUCUUUCUUUUUUCACCAUUGUUCUUGUCAAUGCACUCCAAAAUUAGUACUAGUGCGACAUUUCUUUUUAAGAUAGUGGUCUGAGCUAUUCGUUUCGUACAGCUUUAUUCAAACUAUACUUUUCCAUGAGCUCUGACUAAGUAAAAUAAGUCACUAGUUUCUUUUAAUUUCCUUUCAUUAGUUUCAAUAACAUUGGGUAAUUAAGAUAGAGGAUAAAUUGCAGGAUAAUUUUGCUUUUAUAACUUCACCCAAUUUUUGAGAUAUUCUAUCCUUAUUUGAGCACGCAUGUGAUGGGAAAAAAAAAAAAAGAAUCUUAUUUAUUAUUUUUCUUUCUUUUUUUGGUUAGGUGAUUAAAAUUGAUGCGUAGGGCAGUAAUAAAAUCCAAUGAUUUAAAAAGGGGAAUAAACCGACUAGCUCAAUCGGCCUAAUCGUGAUCUAGUCUAUAAAACAGUUUGGCUCGAUUCUUUUAAACCUGUGGUUCAAUCAUCAAACUGGUGAAAAAAAAAUCAAACCGAAUUUUUUUGAUCAAAUCAUACUAAAAUCCAACAGCUUAAAAUCAACUAAGGUAAGUUUAUUUUAUUUUCUAUUAGCACAAAUUAGGCUUAUAAAAAGCGAUACUUGAAAAUAUAUUUCUACUUAAUUUGGCCUAAAAAUUAUUAUUUUAUGAUAAAAUAUAACACUAAAAAAUAAUAAUUAUAUACAUAUAUUUUUAUAGUAAGAUAUAUUAAAAAUAAAAAUUAAAUAUUUACGACGCGAUGUUGACGUCAGUAGUUCAACCAGUGAUCCUUAACCAAAUAAUAUUUCUGCAUUAGCUGUUUCCCCCCAUUUUUAAAACAUCGAUAAAAUCUGCAAGUAGCGGAGAGGAGCAAAUUUUCUGCAUUCUUGUGUGCAUGACUUUUCUGCAUCAAAAAUCGCCCAGGAGCGUCCUGGGCGGACGAUAGAAUAGAAUCGUCCCGUAUGUAGAAAAGAAAUUCUGCACAUGAAACUACGAAAAAUCUGCGUCUGCGACGAAGUACAAACUAAGUAGGUUUCUCUUUUCAAAGGAUAAUUUAAACUCGAUCGAUCCCCAACCGUGCAAACUAUCAAAAUCUUAUAAAAGGAUAUGCAUUAAUAAAGAUCUAACAUCAAGUGAUGUAACAUCUCAAACAUAAGUCUUUUAUUUAAUUAGUUUGAAAACUCUUUAAGAGUCUCAACUACCCCCUUUAAAUUAGCUGAAUAUUGACUUCGACAUUUAGGACUUUGAAUGUGAAACAGCGUUUAGUGACUGCUUGGAUGCUGUAUUAUUAGCUGUACGUGUUCAAUAUUAUAUACAUAUAUAUAAAUAACUCUUUGAUCAUGUAUUUUUUGGCUUUUUAUGUAGCUAUAGCUUCUAAGUCCAUCCACAUUGAUGUUUACUGCAAAUAUAAUUCACACAUAACGUUGGGAUAGUCAAUUAGCGCACUAGAGGUUGAAAUUUUGUUGCAAAUAGAAGCAAGAAGUAUUAAUUUAGAGCUGUUACUUUGGAGGUCAAAAGUUUAUGAUAAAAACAUAAGCACUGUUACUAGUAUGUACACUAUAAAAAAAGGUGUAAAUUUUACACUCGCUUAUUUGAAUAUUCGUAUUGAGCCCUUAUCUCAUCAAUUUUUUUGAUACUAAACACCCAAAGGAUUUUAUAAAUUAAACCCUAGGAUGAGGGGUGUAGCACUAGCAUUUUCCUAAAAAAUAUUUAUUUGGAACUUAUCUGAACUAUGCUCCAUUUUGCUUCGAGUGUCUAACCUUUAUGAAAUUUUGAUUUGGUUAUCUUAAUUACUUCUCAGCUGAUUUAAUUUAAGCUAUUUAAUAACUCUACUACUUUAAAAAUGUGGAUGCACUGUUUAUUAAGAGACUGUGAUUUAUACAACUAUUUAUGUUCUCAUUAAGCGAUAUACCUAAAUUUUAGAAGAAAUUAAAAAAAAAAAAACUAUCAACUAAUUAAAAUCAAAGUAUUAUAUACAAUUAUUUUGAAGAUUAGAUCGUCAAAUCCAUAGUUCAGAUAGAUUCUACACACUUUUAGACAACGUAAAUCUCCCACAUUUGGCUUGCAUGCAAACUGGUUUUGAUAGCAAAAAUGUAAUAACCGGCUCACAAAUACUAAAAACAACAAAACGUUGGUCCAAAUCAACAAACACAAAACGGGGGACGCGGUCUAAAUCAAAGGGCGUCGGUCCAAUCUUUGAUCAAGGACAUGACACGUUCAAAGGCCCGGACGGCGUUGGGCCGCGCAUCACGGAAGAUAGUGUUAUUACUUUCCGUCCAUGUCACCCACCUGAUUGCCGCUAGAUAGAUCAGACUUUUUGUCCUCAACUCACCAUUAUGAAUGUUAGCUGUUUCCGUCCAUAGCUGGCCUACAUCCCCCGCUUCCAAUCCACUUGUAUCUGAAUUUCCGACGCUGAAUAGAAGAUAUCUGACAAAGACACUGUCCCGAAAGAGGUGAUCGGUGGUUUCCGGGCAUAAUGCACAAAACACGCAAAACUGAUCCACCGCGUAUUCUCGACGGAUCAAUUUGUUAUUAAUAUUAGAAUUUUUAGUUCUUAUAUUUUCAAUUAUAAUCUAUUUUUUAUCGGAUGUGAGACUAUUGGGACAUCACACUAACAAUACCAAUUGAGUUUUCUUUUAGUUUUCAUAUGUGUUAUCUACAAUUCAUGCAAUUUGUUAAAGAUGUUAAUUUCUGUCCCAUUUUCCCCUUAGUCAUUUUUUUUUAUGUGAUAUGAUAUUAGAGUUAACUCUAAACUCCCAUCGUUCCAUGUAUUAGAAACUUUCAUGUGAUUAAUAGUCCCACAUCUGAGUAAUUAGUACGAGUGAAAAGGAUUAAUAUACAUAAUGUGUUCAAAUCAAAUAAGCUUAAACUUUUGGAUUAAAGAGGUUUUGGAUUAAAUGGGUUGUAAAAUAUAUCAAUAGGGCUGUCAAUCCGACUCGGUGUUUGUGAUGAGCCAGCUAGUGUUUCAACUCAAAAUUGACUCUGUGUUUGUGAACCCACUUGUGUUUCGACUCAAAAUUGACUCGAACUCGACUUCUUUGUUUAAUAAACUAAUCGAUCCCGAGUUCGCUUAUUUAGCUCAAAAAGUAAAUGAGCCCAACGCAAAUUGACUUAAUUCAGCUGGCUCUCUCAUUUUUUUUUGCUCAAUAUAGCUUAAAAUAAAUAAAUAACAUAUAUAUAUGUACGAUUAUUUUUAAAUUGAUAUUGAGCAUUUUUAAGUUCCUGUUUUUUGUUAGUAUGAUUUUUAAAUUUUAAUACUAAUUAGUUAUAUUAAAGCAAAAGCAAGCAUUAAUCAUAAUAAAGCAAUUCUAAUAAUAAUUAUAGAUAGGAUUAAUAUUUUAUUAAAGUUCAAUUCAAAAUAGCUUGAAAUAAUUUUGAGCCAGCUUGAAUUAAUUUUAAACCGAAAAUGAGUUAUCCCAGCUCGUCUUAGUUUCAAGCCUAACACGAGCUAGUACGUUUGAAUUUUCUUGCAAAUAUAUCAUCUCGAGCUGAUCCCACCUCGCUGGUGCUCGGCUCGUUCAUAGCCCCAUCUAUCAAAUUCUUUAGCACAUGUAAACUUGAGCCGGGCGCGCAAGAACUACUCUUUCAAACCAUGAGGUCGUGGAUUGGAUCGAGCGAGUUAUAUAUAUCUCUUUUUCUCACAUUUUAUGACAAUUCCACUUACCCUUUUACAUUCAGAUCACGCUUGUGUGGGGGAUAUAAUUAAACACUGUUUCCACACCUCAAACUAAACCAAAUGUGUGAAAGCUUAAAGCUAAUUAAGUAGGUGGUCAAUAUAUAUAUUACCGCACAUGGGAAAUUAAAAAAGGACCAUGCAUGAGAUGAGGUCACUGACUCAUACAUAAUGCAUGAAGAGGACAUGUUAUCCAUGGUUAUAAGAAAAGACAUAAUUAAUAUAUAGACUAGCCCUUUUUAUAGGGUACUAAAUUGCACCACUAGUCCCCAACUUUUGGCCAAAUUUCAUUUGGAUGCUCGAACUAGUAAAUUUGAUAUUUUAAGGUUUCAAAUUCUUAAAAGAACAUAUGUAAUUUUGCCAGCUCUUUCUCCUGAUUCAUUAAUUAUUAAAGAAAAUUAACUAAACUGUUGGAUUAAAGGCGCACGUGAGAUGAAUGAAGGAUCUAUAGGAUUUUGUGAACGAUGUAAAGAUGUACAAAUAAUAUAUUCUACGAAACAUAAGAACUUAAGCGAUGGAAUUUAAAAGUUUAAGGACCAAAAUAAAACUCGACUAAGAGUUAGGGGGAUAUAUAGUUGUGCAAUUAAUAUUUAUCCAUUUUUAAUGUGUUGGGUAGGGUUUCUUUCAAAAGGGUGCCCUAAUUUUCCAAUUAUUGGUUAGGUUCACAAGCAUCUCUCAUCAUAUGGUGCCAAAGUCAAGUUUGUUCACUCUACCACGGUUUUCAAUUUGACAUCUCUUUACUUAAUUAAUUAAUUUCUUAUUUAUUAAGAAAUUGAGACUUUUUUGUACAUGUGUAGAGUGUCAACGGAUACAGUGGGUGCUAACAAUUAAUAUUUUGUUAAGGACACAAAAUAAAAUUUGCGUAUGAAAUCUAAUUAAGGAAUUUGCUAUGUUUUUUUUUUCUACCAAGUUAUAUAAGUAAAUCAAAAAUCAAUUAAGAUGUGUUUGCAUAAACUACAUUAAAAAUCCAUAUAUGUGUUAUACGUGUGCGAGCGUGUGCAUGCAUGCAUGCACGUGCAUAUGUACGUGUGAUUGUUGACACAUAUAUCGGAUGGCAUAAGAGCGCGACUUCGUUGAGAUAGUUCGAUGAGCCAUUUAUGAUUCAUUUAUGUUUUUUGACCGAAGUAUCAUGUAGUCAUGUGCAUACACGUAUGGCGGAGGUCGGAUAUAUUGGGCCCAAUUACAAUUGAGAUUUACGCUACGCGCUUUAAGUAAAUUAGUUGUUUUAUAAUUUAUCAAUUUCAAAAUUGUAAUUAGCACUGUUUUUUGACUGAAUUAUCAUGUAGGUAUGUGCAUAGACGGCAGAGAUCAGAUAGAUUGAGCCCAAUUACAAUCGAGACUUACGCUACACGUGUUAAGUAAAUUAGUUCUAUUAUAUAUCAAUUUCAAAAUUGUACUUAGCACUUAGGUUUUGUCCCUUUCUUUUGGCGAGCAAAACAACACUAUACCAUUUGAUUUCUACCUCCCUUUAGCCAUAUCAAUAUCUACUUUAAUUAAUUUCAUGCGACUUUUUGACUAUAAUUGCCCCAAGCUAAUACACUAAAGCGAGAGACUUAUAAAUGGUGGGACAAGUGGAGCAACGUUCGCAUUGCAUGUGUUAUAGGACGUAGUCACACGCGAUUAUUGAUGCAUGUACAUGCUCACCUACACUUUAUAAGAUAGUGCUUUUGAUAAGAUUACGACAUACAUGUAUAUAUGCAUAUAUGUGAGUGGACAUAUGUGGUUGGGAUACAUACAAAGCUCUCUCGAAUUAGGUUUGUGUGUGGCGAGUCAAUUUAGAAAAUGCUAGAGCAUGCGUGAAUGUAUUUUUUAUGAAAAACUGCAGGAUUUUUUUGUGGUGGUUAUGCACGAAAAAAGUCUUGCUUUUCUUUUAAAAGAAAAGGACUGAUCGAGAAGUAGAGUACGUCUUUAGAUUGUGAUAGAAUAAACUUAAACACACGCGCGCACGCACAGAGAGAGAGAGAGAGAGAGAGAGAGAGGGUUCAGCUGCACCAGUGCACUGCCCAAGAAAUUAAAUGGGGUCCGUGGCCCCUUUAACAUGAUAACAUGAUAUCAUAAUUUGGUUCACACCAACUAGUUUGUGACCAGCUCAGAUGCUGCGUGCUACUGGUGUCUAGUACGUAAAAUUACUUGUUUGUAUCGCAUGCUAGUAUAUGGGUUGGGUUAUGUCACGUAUUACUUGCAGAUUAAUACGUACAUAUGCAGGCUUAAUUUGUUGAAUCUCAUGAUCUUAAACGUGUCAAAGAAAGGUAUUAGCAAUAAUAGUUCUAUAUUAUUGAAUACAAACACAUGCAUAUGUCAAAGUCAAAGGGGAGCUAUGAAUAGUGGUUUAUUGGAAACCAAUCAUAAGUUUUUCGUCACUUGCGCUCAAAACGACGUCGGUAACUCUUAUACUAUGUUAAAAGACUCGAACAAAUUCAAAAACUUACUCUCUAUAUAUGUUUUUGCACAACAAAAUUUUUUAAUAUUUUUUAGAAGAAAAGUCAGAGUUUACUUUAUUCUUUAUGCUAUGUACUGUUAUUCCUGGUAAAAUCAAGUAAUGUAAAGGGUUUGAGUCACCAUUAUUAUUGUUCCUUUUAGAGAAAAAGAGAGAAGCUACAUACUCACUUUACUUAUUGUAAAUUUUUUAAAAAUAAACUUAGCUAAAAAUAUAAAGUAAUUAAGCUUCGAAUUUUGGUUGCCAGUGUUACCGACACAAACGCGAUCUUUAAAUUGGAUAAGGUUCUCCCAACCCCCACAAUGUCCCAAAAAUUAAAAUGGUACCAUUACUUUUGUUUCU